RNAcentral lists this long non-coding RNA (55431 nucleotides) under Fragaria vesca (wild strawberry). RNAcentral describes it as "long non-coding RNA (FVES_LNC002088)". The record is from RNAcentral. Lineage: Eukaryota; Viridiplantae; Streptophyta; Magnoliopsida; Rosales; Rosaceae.
AUUUCAUCGGCGAAAGAAUUUAUUUCGUCGGCUAAAGUUCACAGACUAUAGCCGACGACUUUAAACAUUCUUUAGCCGAUGACUUUAAACAUUCUUUAGCCGACGAAAUUUUAAAGUGUUUUAUAUUUGUAGAUCUGGACAGCAGCUCAUCUGGGAAAAAAAAAACGGGAGAAGAAAAAACGGGAGAAAAAGUUUGGGUGUUGUCGAAAUUUGUCCAUAAUUAGUUUGUGGAGCUAUAUAUAGGUACGUACAUGUGUAUAUAUGUUGAUUUUGAGUUUUAUUUGAGUUGAUCAAUUUUGAGUGUGAUUAAAUUGAUAGAUUUUGAGUACGUUGGAUGUAUAUAUAUAUGUGUUGAUCGAUUUGGUUGAUGAUUUGAUAAUAUAUAUGAAGUUGUUCAUAAGUAGUAGAUAUAUAUAUAUAUGUUAAUUAAUUUAUAAUAUUGUGUUGAUGGUAUGAAGUUGUUGAUGAUAUGAGUUGAUGAUGAUUUGUGAUGAUGUUGAUAUAUAAUAUUGUUAUGAGUUGAUCGAUUUUGAGUACGUUGGAUGUAUAUAUAUAUAUAUAUAUAUGUUGAUCAAUUUGGUUGAUGAUUUAAUAAUAUAUACGAAGUUGUUCAUAAGUAGUAGAUAUAUAUAUAUAUAUGUUAAUUAAUUUAUAAUAUUGUUGAUGGUAUGAAGUUGUUGAUGAUGAUUUUGUGAUGAUGUUGAUAUAUAUAAUAUUGUUAUGUAAUUAUUAAGUAUAUAUAUAUAUGUGUUAAUUAAUUUGUUAUCAAUUAGUUAUAGUACGUAGAAUAUAUACUAAAUGAAUUGAAAUUUUAUAUAUGGCAUAUAAUUUAAUUAAUAAUUAGCUACCGUUAUACAUAUAUAUUUUGUUAUAUUUUCAGGAUAUGGAUAUGAGUUGGAUUUCGCUUCCAAAAUAGGACAAAAGAUAUGGUAAAGGAGUUAUGAGUUUUCUGGAAUAUGCGCUGGAUAAUGCUAACGGGAAUACAAUUAUCUAUUGCCCGUGCACGAAAUGUCAGUGUCGCAGCGAUAUGCAUCGAUUUGCGAUUGACAAAGUAUGGCAGCACCUGAAGAGUAACAGGUUUUGGGAGAAGUACACAUGUUGGUUAUAUCACGGUGAAACAUCAUCAUGGGGUCCGCAUGAUCAUGGGCAAUUUUCUGAGACGGGCAGUACAUCCAAUGAUCCAACAACAGCCUUCAUCAACGACAUAUUUCCUUAUGAGAGCGGUGAAUGCGCUCAAGGACAGUAUAUGCCUGACCCGGUGCAGCCCUUCCCUAGAGUUGUCAACACUGCUGGUAUUGACAAGUACAACAAACUGCUUGCUUUCCAACAGACCCCUGUGUACCCCGGUUGUCAGAAGACCGUUCUUGAAAGUGUGAUGGACGUAAUGAAGAUUAAAGUUGAGACAAAAUCGACCGUGAAGGUUGUUGAUGAUUAUCUACAGUACACUGCUUCGAUGCUGCCCCACGGUCAUCGUCUUCCUACCACUCAUCAUAAGGUCCGAUGUAUCCUGAAAGAUCUUGGGCUUUCCUACAUCAAGAUCCAUGCAUGCAGAUAUGACUACGUUCUCUUUUGGGGUAAAGAUCCAGAAGGGAAUGACCUUGGUGGCCUUGACGCAUGUCCGGUAUGUCACACUGACAGUCUGACAGGUAUAAGCUGACUCCUGCAGGCAAUAGGAAACCUGUGAAGGUACUCCGGUAUUUCCCAGGCUGAAGCGGUUGAGGGAUAGGCUGGAGCAGUUGUACAUGUCUUCACACACGGUUGAAGCUAUGAGAUGGCACGCUGAUAGGGGAUUGCAUGACGAAGAUACCUUUAUACACCCUGCUGACGGGGAGGCUUGAAAGCAUAUAGACAGGGAGUUUCCUCAUUUUGCGUCAGAGGUCCGAAAUGUGAGGUUUGAGCUCUCAUCCGACAGGUUUAACCCUUUUGGCAACAUGAGUCUUCAAUACAGUGUAUGGCCGGUGAUUUUGGUACCGUACAACCUUCCUCCAUGGAUGUGCAUGAAGAAGGAAUACAAUAUGUUGAGUUUGUUGAUUCCGGGGCCCGGUUAUCCAGGGAAGUGUCUCGAUGUGUAUUUGAGACAUUUGAUUGAAGAACUUAAGUUUUUGUGGGACGUUGGUCAUCCCACUUAUGACAAGUACAUGCACGAGAUGUUCCAGAUGCAUGUCAUGGUUGUUGGUACCAUCAGUGAUUUUCCUGCCCGUGGGAUGUUGUCGGGCAACGUUGUUAGGGGAUACAAGGCUUGUCCAUAGUGCCUUAGCGAUGAGGGGAGCAGCAGUCAUUGCAACAAGAUAUGCAAAUUGGGUCACCGUACUCUCUUUUCAUAUGAUCACGAAUUGCUGUUUGAUACGCAGGCAUUUGAUGGGACCGUAGAAAACGGUGUGCCUCCCAGAAGAUGGACAGGGGAAGAAGUGCUUAAUGAGUAAGAUUUUGGGCAGCUCAGCAAUCAUCCCAAUAUUGUGGCGGCAAUACCUGAAAGACCCGACAUGUACAAAUUCUGGACACAUAAAAGCAUAUUCUGGGAACUCCCAUACUGGAGUAAGUUGUUGAUCAUGCACUACCUAGAUGUGAUGCACAUAGAAAAGAAUGUUUGCGAUAGUGUAGUGGGCACAAUGCUGAACUUGGAGGGAAAGACGAAAGACGGUCCUAAGGCACGCAUUGAUCUAAAAAAAAUGCAAUUAAGAAGACAUCUGUGGUUGAAAGAAGGGAAGAAAAAAAUGCCUCAAACUCCUUACACCGUGAAGCCUGACCAGAAGAACGUAAUUUUCAAGUGGAUGAGUUGCGUGAAGUAUCCUUCAGGCUAUGUAGGAAAUAUAGCCCGGUGUGUGAACUUCCGGGACAAUAAGAUGUACGGGUUGAAGAGUCAUGACUGUCAUAUCCUGCUACAACAUCUCUUCCCUGUUUUCAUUCGACCGUUCCUUCCCCGUCAGGUGGUGGAGCCGUUAGUAGCGUUGGCAAGAUUCUUCCAGAAGUUAUGCACACAGGAAGUGAAAAAAUCUAACCUCUGGGAAAUGCAAGAGGACAUCAUUUAUAUCAUAUGUAAAUUUGACAGGAUAUUUCCUCCAAUUUUUUUGACAUCAUGCCUCACCUGAUGAUCCAUCUUCCCGGGCAAUUGUUGCUUACCGGUCCGGUCCAGUACACUACACUUGUAUGUAUCCCAUAGAAAUGUACGUUUUUUACAUCUGAAUUCCUCAAUAUACAUGUUCAAUAAUCAUAACACUUUGCAACUUGAUUUAUAGGCAACUUGAAGACUACAAAGAUUAUGUGGCUAAUAAAUCCGCGCCUGAAGGAUGUAUAGCUGAAGCAUAUAUUGCGCACGAGUGCGUCACCUACAUGAAGUUGUAUUUAGGAGCGUUGAAAGAAACUCCGCAAACCAUACCGGUAGAUGUACCGAAGUUCAAUCUUUCCAUACUCUCCAGUGAUGUUGAAGUUUAUGGAAUUUUGCCAGACUCCUACAAGUUGCAACCACAUGAGCUAGUCAUUGCCCACUGGUGGGUAUUGAUUAACUGUCGAGAAGUUGAAUACUAGAAAGACAUCCAUCUAUAUUGUCCAGACAUUCAAGGUGAUCUCGAGUACCACAACAGGGAGUUCGCAAAUUAUUUUGGCGGCUGGGUACGUAAUUCAAUAUUUUUGUACGUGUUUAUGUUUAUUGCAUAAUUAUUCAUAUUUACAGUUGAAUGGUUGGUUGCAGAUGAACCAUAUUUAAUUUGAUGGUCACCCAAAUUGGUCGCACGAACUAAGACUUCUAGCGAUGAAGCCGAUAAUGUCAAGAGUUUAUCAGAUGUGCAAGGUGAAUGGCGUGCAAUUUAUAUGUGAACAGAGAGACAGUAGACGGAGAACACAUAAUUCUGGGGUGAUGGCGCAUGGUGGGCGGAAUGGAGUUGACUAUUACGGUGUUCUCCAUUCAGUGGUGGAACUCGUUUAUGGGCAAGGCAUGACAGUGCACCUCUUCAAGUGUAGAUGGUUUGAUACUAGGCCGCAGAGCAUGAAGACCGAUCAGUACGGAAUAUUAUCGGUGAACAUUGCUACAAGUUGUUACGAAAAUGACCAGUUCGUUUUUGCCACAUCGGUAAAACAAGUGUUUUAUUUUGAUGACCUUGGUAAGGGUGACGCAUGGAAAGUAGUCAACCUUGUGCACCCUCGAAACAUUUACCGGGCGGCUACACUUGGAGACGCCGAAGACGAGGAAGAAGAUGUUACGUAUCAAGAGCCCAACGCAAUAGGUAUUCCUAACUCCUCUACCAUUCGCCUUAAUAAUUUUAAAACAGGUCGUUCGGUGCGAAUUCGUGAAGAAGAGCCAAGGCUUAUUGAUGUUGAUCCAAAUCAAGAAACAGAUGAAGACUCUGGCGAUGAGGAAAUGCAUAGAUUACCAGAAAUUAAUUCUGACACCGAAGAAGACUCAUCGGAUAAUUCCGAUUACGAGCCUUAGUUUUAAUUUAGAGGACGUAAUACAUUAAUUUGUAAUAAAAAAGAAUGUAUUACCUUUAUAGUUUACAUAUGUUGAAUUCAUACAUCUCACUCUUGAUUCUAGAUCGUCAAUUAAACAUGCCAUUAAACGAGAUGAAGAUGGGACUCUUAUCUUUGACGAACGCACAGGAAUGAGAAUUUCUGAUGCUGUUAAUACCUUAUUUUACAUAAUUAUCCAACAUUUUAUAGGAACACCUAGUCAGAUAACAUCCAGAAUUCAUGAUCAACUCAGUAACCUUAGGUAUCCUACCUUAUGUGACUUCAAAUGGUACAAAGAUGUAUUCAUUUCUCGAGUUAUGCUUAGAAAAAGAAAAAUUCAUAAAUGGCCUCCCAAAAUUAUUUGCUCAUAAAAUCAGACAAGUUCUUAGUAAUUAAACAGGUCACAUAAACUACGAUUCUUUAACUUACAGAAAUAUAAUUACAGUAAUCUAAAAAGAAGGAUUAAAAAUGUGUAUAGAUAUGAAACUAAAUGCUCAAAUGAAGUCAGAUAAGAAAACAGCUAAAUAUGAAUUAGGAAAUUUUUGUGAACAAUAUGGCUUACCUCCCUUACCUCCUUCAAGGAAGAAAAAAGUAAGCAAUAAAUUUAUUCCUUAUUAUUCAAAAAGAAAAUUUACACCUUAUAAAAGUAACUUUGAGCCAAACAAAUUUUAUUCCAAAAACAAAUUUCNNNNNNNNNNNNNNNNNNNNNNNNNNNNNNNNNNNNNNNNNNNNNNNNNNNNNNNNNNNNNNNNNNNNNNNNNNNNNNNNNNNNNNNNNNNNNNNNNNNNNNNNNNNNNNNNNNNNNNNNNNNNNNNNNNNNNNNNNNNNNNNNNNNNNNNNNNNNNNNNNNNNNNNNNNNNNNNNNNNNNNNNNNNNNNNNNNNNNNNNNNNNNNNNNNNNNNNNNNNNNNNNNNNNNNNNNNNNNNNNNNNNNNNNNNNNNNNNNNNNNNNNNNNNNNNNNNNNNNNNNNNNNNNNNNNNNNNNNNNNNNNNNNNNNNNNNNNNNNNNNNNNNNNNNNNNNNNNNNNNNNNNNNNNNNNNNNNNNNNNNNNNNNNNNNNNNNNNNNNNNNNNNNNNNNNNNNNNNNNNNNNNNNNNNNNNNNNNNNNNNNNNNNNNNNNNNNNNNNNNNNNNNNNNNNNNNNNNNNNNNNNNNNNNNNNNNNNNNNNNNNNNNNNNNNNNNNNNNNNNNNNNNNNNNNNNNNNNNNNNNNNNNNNNNNNNNNNNNNNNNNNNNNNNNNNNNNNNNNNNNNNNNNNNNNNNNNNNNNNNNNNNNNNNNNNNNNNNNNNNNNNNNNNNNNNNNNNNNNNNNNNNNNNNNNNNNNNNNNNNNNNNNNNNNNNNNNNNNNNNNNNNNNNNNNNNNNNNNNNNNNNNNNNNNNNNNNNNNNNNNNNNNNNNNNNNNNNNNNNNNNNNNNNNNNNNNNNNNNNNNNNNNNNNNNNNNNNNNNNNNNNNNNNNNNNNNNNNNNNNNNNNNNNNNNNNNNNNNNNNNNNNNNNNNNNNNNGACAAUAAAGAAAUUAAACAGGAAUUAAACUUACUAAAAAUAAAUAACCAAUUUCUUAAAUUACAGGAUCCCCUUGAAAAUCCUUUUCCAAAUCCUUUCCCAGAAAAUAAUGAAGCUGAAAACUCUGAAAAUAAUAUUAUUAGUACCAUACACCAAAUCCAGCUUAAAAAAUGGUACACUACUGUCCAACUCAAAAUAAAAGAUUUCCAAAUAACAAUAACAUCCCUUAUUGACUCUGGUGCAGACCUUAAUUGCAUCCAAGAAGACUUAAUAGCUUCAAAAUAUUUUGAAAAAACAAAAGAGUCUUUACGAUCAGCUAAUGGAACAAAAAUGGAUAUUAAGUACGAAAUCCCUAAAGCUCAUAUCUGCCAAAACAAUAUUUGUUUCAAAACUUCGUUUGUCUUGGUAAAAAAUUUAACUGAUAAAAUAAUUCUAGGACUACCUUUCAUUACUUUAAUUUUCCCUUUCAAAAAUGAAUAUGAUGGUAUUAUUACCUACCCUUUUGAUGAACCAAUUAAAUUUACUUUUCUUUCAAACCCCGAAAUCCAUACUUUGAAAACAUUUCAAGAAAAUAAUAUUUCAAAAACUCUCGAUUGCAUUCAAGCCAAAAAUAAACAAAGUCACUUUUCUUCAAGAAGAAAUUAAUUUCAAAAGAAUUGAAAAUCAACUCCAAAACUCUUUCCUUCAGCAAAAGAUCAAAACUUUUGAAGAAAAUAUAAUAAAAAAAAUAUGUUCUGAUAUUUCUACUGCUUUUUGGCACAGGAAAAAACAUAUUGUUUCACUACCUUACAUCAAAGAAUUAAAUGAGAAAAAUAUCCCUACUAAAGCUCGCCCAAUCCAAAUGAGUCAUCAGAUUAUGAAUUUUUGUAAAAACGAAAUUAAUGAUUUACUUAACAAAGAUAUUAUUCGUCCUAGUAAAUCCCCUUGGUCUUGCCCAGCUUUCUAUGUUCAGAAAAAUGCUGAACUCGAAAGAGGGACUUCUCGUCUAGUUAUUAAUUACAAACCCCUUAAUACAGUUUUAGAAUGGAUCAGGUAUCCCAUUCCUAAUAAACGAGAUCUCAUUAACAGAUUAAACAAAUCUGUUAUCUUUAGUAAAUUUGAUAUGAAAUCAGGAUUUUGGCAAAUUCAAAUCAGUGAAGCUGACAAAUACAAAACUGCAUUUGUCACACCCUUCGGACAUUAUGAAUGGAAUGUUAUGCCAUUCGGAUUAAAAAAUGCCCCUAGUGAAUUCCAAAACAUAAUGAAUGAUAUAUUCAAUCCUUAUAGUCAUUUCUCCAUUGUUUACAUUGAUGAUGUUUUGAUCUUUUCACAAUUAAUUGAUCAACAUUGGAAACAUCUUCACCAAUUCUUUUCCAUAAUAAAGAAUAAUGGUCUAGUUAUUUCUGCCUCAAAAAUCAAAUUAUUCCAAACCAAUAUUCGUUUUCUUGGAUUUAACAUUCACCAACUCCAAAUUAAACCCAUUAAUAGAGCGAUACAAUUCGCUGACAAAUUUCCAGAUGUCAUUUUAGAUAAAAAUCAAUUACAAAGAUUCCUAGGAUCUUUAAAUUAUGUAGCAGAUUUUUACAAAAACCUUACGAAACAUUGUAAACCUCUAUUCGAUAGAUUACAAAAAAAUCCUUCCCCAUGGACUUCAGUACAUACAUCCUUUGUCAAAAAAAUUAAGAGUCAUGUCAAAACCUUACCAUGCUUAGGAAUCUCUCUUCCCGAUUCCUAUAAAAUAGUAGAAACUGAUGCCUCUGAAAUAGGUUAUGGAGGUAUUCUCAAACAACAACUUUCUCCCAAUCAUCAUGAGCAAAUUGUUCGAUUUCAUUCUGGGUUUGGAAUCUAGCCCAGUCAAAUUAUAGUACUAUUAAAAAAGAGAUUUUAUCAAUUGUUUUAUGCAUCAGUAAAUUUCAAGAUGAUUUAUUAAAUUAAAAAUUUUUAGUCCGAGUUGAUUGUAAAAGUGUUAAAGAUGUUUUAGAAAAAGAUGUUCAAAACAUUGCUAGUAAACAAAUCUUUGCCCGUUGGCAAGCAAUUUUAAGUAUUUUUGAUUUUGAAAUUGCAUUCAUUAAAGGUAGUGAUAACCAUAUCCCAAAUUUCCUAACUCGUAAAUUUCUACAGGGCGCCACAACAUGAAGUCUAGCUCAUCUAAAGAGAGAAAUCCCGGAAAAUCAAAAGCUACGGCGUCCUCUCCAGUUAAGCCAGAAUCACCUGAGUCAAAAUCAAACAUAGUUCCUUUUACAGGUCAUUCUCCUGUUGCAUUAGUUAACCAGUAUAGUGCUCUUGGUAGCACUCUCAGUCGAAAUAAACCUAGUUACCAAUCAGCUUUAGUCAACCAGUUCGACCCUUACAAAUCAGGCUCCUCAUCUAACCUUCCAAUUAAAUAUAAAAAAUCCUCCCCUUACAUUGUCAGGGCUGAGCAUGGCCUAUUUUAUAUUGAACCUACCUUGAGUCAUCUAAAAAAUCAUGUUUCUUUAAUAAAAAGUUAUUUUGGUCCAACCUUUCAUUACCCUCCAGGUAAACCCUCAUUAGUAUUUUAUAAAGACAUUUUGUAUAAAACCGAGUCAAUAUUCAUUAAACCAAUUCUUGAUCCAAAAGACCAAUCUAAGAUAUUAUAUCAUUCCCUUUAUAUAAUCUGUAUCAUUUCACUAGCCCAAUGGGGUGAUCCCCCUGGCCUCUACUCCCCACACAAUAGACACUCACAUUUACCUAUCAUGAUUACAUCGAAGCAUGGGAUAAAAUAUUCCUCCAUCAAACUGAGGAUUUUAGUCAUUCGUGGUUCCUCAAUUUCGAUAGAAGAUUCAAUCGCCAAUUCCCUAUGUGGUUUAGUAAUUGGUGGAAUGACCAUGGUUGCCCUUAUGAUCUUCUCCCAUUACAACUCCAGAAUGCAAUCACGAAAUUUACUACAGUUAUGACCUUUUCAGAAUAUGAGAAGAGGUUUUCUGCCACUCUUCAAUUCAUGUCCAAGUAUAAAAUUCCUUGGAUUAUGAAAUGGCGAUACAAAAUUGAACCUGAAGAAUAUAUGGUUAUAAGACAAUUCCUAGUAAAAUGGUGGGAUAAAUUCGACCCGGAAAGAGUUUUAACUCAAUUUAGUGAAGAAUUCACAGUUAUUCCCUCGAGUUCAAAAACUCCGGUUUCCAUUUAGCCGGCUCCUCCGAUCUCGCAGUUAACAUCUCCAACUCCUCAGUCACCAUCUUCUUCUAAGAAGACAAAUCAGUCACCAUCUUCUUCUAAGAAGAAAAAAGCCUCCAGUUCAUCUUCAUCUUCUAAAGCAAAAGAAUUAAAAGAUCUGGCUAAGCAAUUACUACAACAAGUAGCAAAUUUAUCCAUAGAUGAUGAAGAAGAACAUUCUCCAUCAGAAUCAUCAUCAUCACACAGUCAUUAAAGUUCCCCUAAUCAACCAAAAAGAUAGGCAGAUUAUGAAGAUAGUCAAGACCCUUAUGCUGAGUUUGAUUAAUUCCAGUCAAGACCAUCUCAGUCAGCUUUUCUACCGAAAUCAACAGUAAAUCACAUGACAGAUAGUCCACUAUUCAUCAACAGUAAAUCACAUGACCAACAGUUACUCCGUGGCAGACAAGUUACUAUUCACCAACAGUCACUUUUUACUAUUCAUCACUUUUGUAAUUUCUAUUUAUAGAGGCCUCCGGCUUCACUCCUAGGCAGGCUUCAUUUUUCUCUUCUCUCUCUCUCUCUCUCUCUCUCUAGUCAAAUAGUCCUUAGCAUAGACAAUCUGCCUGAGUUCUAGUUCUACUCAUGCAUUGAUUUUUACUAUAAUUCGUCGGCUAAAACCAUCUUAGCAGACGAAUUAUAUUUUAAGUCGUCGGUUAAGAUCAGGUUAGCCGACGAAUACCCUAAUAAUUCGUCAGCUUUAUUUAUUUUUUUAUUUUUUAUUACAUACUAUAGCAGACGAAUAUAUUAGGGUAUUCGUCGGCUAAACCCUAAAAUUUUUCUAUUACAUACUAUAGCCCUAUCUUCAGUGGCUAUUUUCUGUAAAAUUUUUAUACGACUUGUUGCGUCUUAUCGAUUUCAAACUAUUUUCAGUUGAAAAUCCAGCCAAAAUACGAAAUUUAGACAGUCCAACGACCUUUUCCGGGCUUUUAGGGGUUUGACUUACGGGAUCGACCGUCCGGAUCGAGCCCUUAACCUUGUCGGAUCAAGUUGAAUUUUUCCCCAUACAUGUAUUUUGUCAUGAUGGUCAGAUCUGACGGUCGGAUUUCCGUUUCUCAAGUUUGAUCAUCACAAUCACAAUUUGCCGAAUGUAUAAAAAGUACUAUAGCCGACGAAGUUCAAAGGUUUAGCCGAUGAACUUAAAAGGUUUAGCCGACGAAUUUGAUCUUAGCCGACGAGAUUAUUAUCUUAGCCGACGAGAUUAUUGUCUUUAGCCGACGAAAUAAUAAUUCCGUCGGCUAAAGUUGUCGGGUAUAGAGACGAACACCCAGCGCUCGAUAGCAGAAAAACCCUAGCCUCCUCUUCCGCCUCCUCCGCCUCCUCUCCCUCUCCCUGUCUCCCGGUCGCCUUCUCCCUCUCCCGGUCUCCGCCUCCUCUCUCUCCUUCUCCCGGUCUCCGCCUCCUCUCCGAUCCCUUUCUCGGUCUCCGCCUCCUCCCUCUCCNNNNNNNNNNNNNNNNNNNNAUUUUGUGUUUGCUUUGAUUUUCCGGUCAAUUGCAAUGUUGUGGUGUUGUUAGGAAGUGUAUAUUUGUAUUUAGGAAGUGUAUAUUUUUAUUUAGGAAGUGUAUAUUUGUAUUUAGUAUUGUGUUUGCUUUGAUUUUCCGGUCAAUUGCAAUGUUGUGGUGUUGUUAGGAAGUGUAUAUUUGUAUUUAGUAUUUUUAGGAAGUGUAUAUUUGUAUUUAGUAUUUAGAAAGUGUAAAUUUGUAUUUAGGAAGUGUAUAUUUUUUUUUGUUCACUAAUUGAAUGGGUUUACAUUGUUUGAUUUUGUGGUGUUGUUACGAAUAUGAAAAUAAGCAUGAAACUUGUCAUGAAAUAUAAAUCUAAAAGUUAGGAGCUUAAAAAAUUAAUUUUUAAAAGUUACAAAUGUAAAUUUUUUUUUCUUCAAAAGGCUGACGCCUUGGUGAGGCACUCGCUCCAUAGCCUCGGCUACGCCUUAGCCUUUUAAAACAUUGGCCUUGAUUCAAAUUAAUAUUUUAAACAGGAUGAGCGGUAAUAUUAGAUCGACAAAGGGUUCGAAGGGCCAAAGGUCCGAAUCGUCUGAGGGAACCUCUAGCAACCCUCAAACGUCGUUUCAGGGCCCCAUGACAGCUAGACGUGCGACCCUUUUGCAGACGGCGCAGAGGCAGCCGGAGGUGCCCCCUUCAUCUAGGCAACGGGGCGUCCCUCAUUCCUCGAGGCAGUUGUGGCCUCACCCAGACGGAGGUGUCUGCACCCCGUAUGCCUGAAAUACACCGGGCGCCCACUCCAGGUCCUACUUCUUCGGAUAGUGGGUCAUCUGGAGUACAGAUGUCGUCGCCUCAUCUGUUCCUUCCGCGGAUGAUACCGGCCUUACCUGCAGUCGAUGGCUUAGGGACGCCGAUUUAUCUACUGCCCCCGCCAGUGGCCCUAUCAGCGGCGUACCGGUUCGUGUCUUUUGAUACGCUUCUUAUUUUCGCGAGGGUAUCAUCAUCGGCGACAGAGACGGAAUCCGUCGCGUCCGCCGCAUCGCCCUCAGGUAAUGAAAGAUGAAUGAUUUGUUUUCUUAAAAUUCUCCGAUUUUAAUAAUCAAUUUGGUUUAUCAUGUGAUAGGAACCGUCGGAGCGAAACCGGCAAAGAAGAAGAGAGGCCCCGUCACAGGGAAGGCUCUCGAGAAUAUUGUCAGUACCUCAGGGAGGAUCGUCAUCCGUACUAACGGAGAUGGCGACAUAGUAUCGGGCGGGAAGUCGAGGACGUACUCCGGCCGCGUGGGAGAGCUCAUUAGGGAUAGAGUCCCUAUGUUGUGGUCAGACUGGGGCGAGGUCCCGCAUGAGGUUAAGGACAUGGUCCACAACGCGAUGUCGGUGAGUUUACAAAAUGCCUCAAUAAUAUUAUGUAUUACAUUGUUGAUUUCUCGAAAAACUAAACUAAUAAACGGUUAAAUGCAGGUGUGGUUGAGGUUCCCGAGCACCUGAAGAGCAACUGGGCAGACGUUAUGCAUGGGGGAAGGUACGUUGGGAAGUUAAUGAAAAAACAAAAUUGUAUGUGAUAUUAAUAAUAUUUCUAAUAUUUUUGUUGUAUCUGUAGGUACAAGGAGUGGAAGUACGAGUUGCAGACCCACUGGACUACGCACGGGAACGCACGUUCUGGUACCCCUGCUGAGUUCCAGUACAGGGAGUACGAGUGGUGUUGGCUUCUGACAUCAGAAUUCAACAACCCUCAUAAACAGGUAUUUAAAAAAAUUAAUUAGUUAAUUUGUCAUUAAGUACGUGCGUUUUUAAAUAUUUUACUAAUAGUUUAUUUUUUUCUUUGAAGGUCGUUUCCUGAGUGAACGCUCAGAACCGGCAACGCAACACAAGGAACCAUCAUGCCAGUUCUAGACCGUUCGCUGUCUUCAUGGGCGAGGCGGCCAGGGAACAUCUAGAUGUCAACCGGUACGUCUAUACGUACGAGAAGGCAUAUCCUGACGCCCAGGAGGAUAUUGUAAGUCAUCUUAUGUUUUAAAUUUUAAUUUUAUUUAUAUAUAUGUCAAAAUGUUAAUUAAUAAUUUUUUUCCUAUUCAAUUAGGCGAAGGUGAGGGAGACUAGUGACGAGGUGAUAAGUGCUAUAAUGAGGGAGACUUGGCCAGACACGCAGGAGGAAGAGAUGUCCGAAGCCAUGUCCCGGAUCGACACUUCGGAUCUAACGGUUGGGGCAAGGAUCAUGGGCACAGCCUUUCCACCGCGAGCAAACAACUUCUACUGCCGGGGUCUAGGAAAGAAGGGCAAGGGGGUCCUGAAGACCACUCUAGGAUUUCAACGAAAUGCCGCCUCGACCAGCAGCAGGACCACGACCACGACCACCAGGACGACUCAGCUAGAGUCUGAAGUUCAGAGACUACGGGAACAGCAAGCUGCUCAGGCUGCCUAUAAUGCCUCGCAGGCAGCCUAUAAUGCCGCGCAGGUAGCCUAUGCUGCUGAGAUACAUGCCAUCCAGCAGGGCCAGCAGCAGCAGAUGCUCCAGUACAUGCAUGACUUUACAGUUGCCCAGCUUCAGGGACUUCCGGCUCCACCCAUGCCUACGGCUAUACCGCUAACCCAGCCGCCGCAACCUCCGCAGCAGCCCCCAGAAGCGGAUAUUAAUUUAGACGAUCCAGAUUUUGUGUAGUUGAUGAAUUAUAUAGUUUUAUGUGCUUGUUGUUGGUUAUAUGGAAUUGUUUUGGUGUAUUUUGCAGCUUGCUUGGAAUGGUAAUUUAGAAAUUCCGGGUUUUUUUUACUGGAAUGGACUUAUAGCCGACGAAAUACGAAAUAAUUCGUCGGCUAUAGUAUUUUAAAUUUUUUUUAAAUAAGGUUUAGCCGACGAAUUAUGGAAUGUUUUGUCGGCUAAACCCUUCUAAAACCGACGAAACAGACUAUAUUUCGUCGGCUUUAGUUAUUUUUUAAUUUUUAAUUACACACUUUAACCGACGAAUAUCUUAAAUGUUUCGUCGGCUAAAGUCUGAGAAAAAACCGACGACAUGUUUUUCGUCGGCUAAACUCUGGGACUAUAGCCGACGAAUAUCUUAAAUGUUUCGUCAGCUAAAGUCUGGGAAAAAAACCGACGACAUGUUUUUCGUCGGCUAAACUCUGGGACUAUAGCCGACGACGUCUUCUAGUUUCGUCGGCUAAAGUCAUCGCCGACGACCUUUUCCCGACGAAAGCUUAGCCAACGAGCCUUCGUCGGCUAAGAUCUUAGCCGACGAAUUAAGCUAACAGGCCGACGAAACUUUUUCAUAGGCUAAAGUGCUUGUCCUGGUAGUGUUUGUUUUUCCCACGGGAAUAAAAAGAGAAGGGAAACGAAAUUUCUUUCCGUUCCAAUGUUUGGUAACAUAAGGAAAAUUAUCCGAAAAGUUAUUAAUUAAAAUAAUAUAUUAUGAGUAAUAAUGCAAGGAAAUAAGAUCAGAAAGUGGUUCAUAUGGAUUUUGAAAAGAACAACUUUUUCUCAAAUUUUCUCAACCUUCAAAAAAGUAUUUCUUUUCCUUCAGCAAGCGUUCCCAAACACAGAAAAGGAAUAACUUUCAUUUCCUGAUGGUUACUUUUUGCGAAUCAAACGAGAUCUAUAAGUGCUCCAAAUGGUAGGAGAAAAUUGUAUCAUAGAUGCAUUUGAUCAUGUACUACUAUACGCACUUGUAUUAUUUUUGUUCUUGUCUAAAUUAUGAGUGCGUAAUCUACAUUUUCUUGACCUAAUUGCUUUUAGAAACUUUUGCCACUUAUUAAGUGUACACAUAGUAGUGACGGCAACUUUUUUCUACUCGCACUCUUUCAGGACAAAAAAAAAACUUCUUUCUACUUGCACAAUAUAACGAAAUAAUUGUAUAACCUAAUCUUUCUUCUAAACAAAACAUGACAUUGAUCUAGAUAUUCCCCAUUGUUGAAGACAUCCUAAAAUUGUAAGAGAUCUGCUUAGCUCAACCAAUUUUCUUGUUAGAGUGGCAGAUUCUAAGGAGGGUUGUCGAAGACGACACUGAACUUCGUUUCUAGGGUUUUGCUUUGCUGAACUAAUGCCUCAAGGUUUACAUUUGACUCAUCCUCCAUUUAGCCCUAACCAGCUCAGCGUUAAAAAAAAAAAAAAAAAAAAAAAACUUCUGACUGACCUCUGCACCUCUCCACGCGUCACCACCUCACUGCACAGAGAUCCACGAGCCCCUGCUGUCUACUCGACACGUGUCCUCCCGGUGUUCCAGUAGCCAAAAAACAGACGGCGUAAAAUAGCCUUGCAUCCGCCUAGUGAGGACAACUGACGCCCCGCGGUGACGUAAAGGGCUCGCAACUUGACUCGUGUGCGACGACGAGUGUGGCCCCAUGGAUCUGAGGAGAUCGCGAUGUCCAACGCAAUGCUGAGUCAGCCCUGACAAAACAAACCGGGCCCGCCGGAGAUUUAAAGUAAUUGGGUUUCUGUCAUCGUUUGGUAAAAUAUAUAAAGGGCAAGUUUUGAGUUUUUCAGGGAAGGACUAAGGAGUUCCGAAUUCUCAGGGAAGGACUCUCCGGCCGAUUAUAAAUAGCAACCCCAUUUUCCAAGCUCAAAAUGACACCACACACCCCCAUUCUCCUUCUUCUUCUUCUUCACCCAGAUUUCGUUUCUUGGUCUCUCUUUUCUUCUGUGAUUCUUCUUCCCCUGGUUUUGAUUCAAGAUGACCAUCCUCAUUGAGCAGCAGCAGCAGCAGCAACCUGAGUUUGGUAUACAUCACAUUACGUUCUCUCUUCAUGCAUUUUACUUUCUUGAAAUUCUUCUGGGAUUGUUUGCUUUCUGGGUUUUUUUUUUUUUGAUAAAAAUAUUGAUAUUGUUAUAAUGAUGAAAUUAAUCCUCUGUGUUUAUGUGUUUUGAUUACAGGAGUUGAAGUUGGAGGAGGGAAGGAGGUUAUUGUCGAUGAGAAAGAAUUGGUCUUGGAUGGUGGAUUUUUGGUGCCACAUACCAACUCAUUUGGACAAACUUUUAGGUUAUUAUGCCUCUUUGCAUUAUGUUCAUAAUUUUCACGUUUUCAUGUUGCCGCAUAAUUGAGUUUAUAUAAAGGAUCUGUUAGAUCUAUGAUGCAAGUCCUCUUUAAUUUUUUGCAGAUUUUGUUUUAAUCAUUGUGCUAUAAAAGCUUAUUGAUAGGACUGAAUCUGACCCCCUGUUAAUGAUUGAACAUAUAUAGAGACAAAAAUAGCUAGCUAGUAAUAUGUAUGAGGCUUUGUUAGGACUUGCAAUUAGUACAAGACAAAAGAGGAAACGUAACACAAAUAUGGAAACCUGUAGAUGCCUAGAACUGAAGCAAUGUUUCACAAAGUGGUCAGUUUGGAAGAUAGAGGGUAAACUGGUGAGAGAUGGACACUGUAUGUUGGAUCAGAAUAGGUUUAUAAAAAAAAAAAAUGAAAUAAAUAAAAAAAUAAAAAAUUGAUCUUGUUUAUCAGAAAAUAUUGAAUGUAUUGCAAAAAAGGACUUCAGUUCUGAUAUUUGCUCUUACUUUCUUUUCAACUACUUGCACAAAUCAAUAGAUAUAUGGAUAUACUAGAUAUAUAUCUUGUCAGGUGGCAAGCAUGAACUUGGGGCUCUUAUCAAGUAGCACAAAUUUCUAGCUAUAAAAAGAUAAAAAAAAUAUUGUAAAAGGUCAUUUUCAUUAAAAGAAUGUGAUAAGGUUGCACAAAUGAACUUGGGCUUUAUGGCAUCCCAAUAAUCCAGUUGGGCCAUGUCUAGUAUUGGGCAUCUUUUUUUUUUGACAAAGGGUUCCUGUUAGCUCACUAUUGUUUACACCUGUUAACUGUGAUGUUCAGUACUUCCUUUCUUUCCUCUCCAGUAAAUUAUAUAUAUUAGAUUUCGUUACUAAUAGUUUUGAAUGGAAUUAAAAACAGGGAUUAUGAUGCAGAAGGUGAGAGGCAACCAAGUGUGGAGAAAUUCUACAAGAUCAAUCACAUUCACCAGACUUAUGACUUCGUAAGUGAUUCAAUUUCUCUUGCUGUUCAUUUCAGUGACACCAUUUUAUUUCCAGUGACGCCAUUUUAUUUCCAUUUUAUUUCCUAUGCUUGUGAAAGUACUAAGUUAAUAGUAAACAUACGCUAAUAUAGGUCCAGAGAAUGAGAAAAGAGUACAGCAAAUUGAACAGGGUGGAGAUGAGCAUAUGGGAAUGCUGUGAACUUCUCAAUGAGGUUGUAGACGAGAGUGAUCCGGACUUGGAUGAACCUCAGAUUGAGCAUUUGUUGCAAACAGCUGAAGCCAUUAGAAAGGACUAUCCCAAUGAAGAUUGGCUACACUUGACUGGCCUUAUCCAUGGUAUUAUUACUUCACUAUGCUACUCAGUUUGGCCUUCACAUAAAGUUAACAGCUAAUUUGAUUACUGAUGAUUUAUUUCAGAUCUUGGGAAGGUGCUUCUUCUUCCUUGCUUUGGGGAGCUUCCUCAAUGGGCUGUUGUAGGUAACUAGCAUCAAAUUCAACUAUAAUACAUUUAUUUUCCAACUGCAGAAUCAUUAAUCAUGAUUCUUAUAACAGGUGACACUUUCCCAGUCGGUUGUGCUUUCGACGAAUCCAAUGUUCACCAUAAGGUACUUCUAUCAUAAAUUUACUGUGCAUCAAUUAUUCUGAAGACGUGUAUAUAAUCAAUUCGAUGAUGUUGUUAUUGCAGUACUUCAAGGAGAACCCCGACUACAACAAUCCGGCUUACAACACUAAACAUGGGGUUUACUCUGAUGAGAGGUGUGGACUCAACAACGUACUGAUGUCAUGGGGGCAUGAUGACUACAUGUAUCUGGUAUAUAUAUCCAAAUCUCAGUUCCUGUAAUAACUUUGCUAUUGGUUAUUUAUCACCAACAAAUCGUGAACAGAACAUGUAUGGCAUUUUCAGGUGGCCAAAGAGAACAAGACAACUCUACCUUCAGCAGGUCUUUUCGUCAUUAGAUACCACUCGUUCUAUGGUAUGUUUAUAUAAUGAGUCCACUACAAAAAUUAACCCCCAUUCAUUAACUAAUUCUGAUACAAAUUCUGGCAUGAUUAUGCAGCUUUACACACAGCAGGAGCCUACAAGCACUUGAUGAAUGAAGAGGAUGUCGACAACUUGAAGUGGCUUCAUGUAUUCAAGUAAGAGUCUACAUUUUUUCUCUUCAUAUUGAAUUCUUAUUAAUUUACAUUCUCUCAAUUUCUCAAUUAGUCCAUGUUCUUCAUUCUGCUGGUAUUUUCUUUAUCUAUGUAGCAAGUAUGACCUUUACAGCAAGAGCAAAGUUCGGGUUGAUGUUGAGAAGGUGAAGCCGUACUAUCUCUCACUCAUAGAAAAGGUAAUUAAGCGCUAAGCACAAUCUUAAUUCAUUUUCAGAACAACCCUGUUCAUAUUUUCUUAAAGUAGUUACUAAAUUUUUGUGACUUGAAUUUGUUGCAGUACUUCCCAACUGCCAAGCUAAGAUGGUGAACUAUAUGCGAGUGGAUCGAUAUGAGCAACUCGCUACAAACAAUAGAUGAGAUUUGGAGCUGUAGUUGCUUUUCCUUUAUGUUUUAUAAAUCUAUAGCUCCUAUGUAUAAUCUUUUAUGUAUGAUGUGUGAUGUAUUACAAUUAUUUUGUUUUUCUUCAAUAAAAUGCUUUGAUGAUAGUACCUCCUGAUGAAACUGUCUAUAACAACUGAAUAAUAGUCCCUCUUUUAUUUUAUUUUUCUUGGCUACAUUCAUGAUGAACUUAAUCCUAAAUUGAAGCAAAAAAGAUUUCAGUGGCAUUGUCUUGCCAUCACAAACAAAUAUGCUCCUGAAUGAAGCAUAUAAACACUUUGAUAUUUCCUUAUAUGAGAAACAGAACAAACCAAGAAUCCUCUCAUGACUUUCAUGGUUCCAAAGUCGGACAAAGUUGUAGACCAGUUUAAGCAAACGAAGCAUCCCACCAAAAACGUUAGCAUAGAAGAAAAAAUGAAGCCUCUAAUAAACAUAUGGGACAUACCUUCUCAUUUUUUUUUGUCAAUUUAGGUGGCUUUUGCAUUUAGCUCUGUUCCCUAAUUUGUCAAAUUUGGCACAUCCUCAUUUUCUAGCUUCUCUCUUCUAUUUGAAGAGUUGCCAAGUCAACUAUGAUCAAUGGAGAAAUUGGACAAGCCUCGAGCUUUAGUGGUGAUAAUAUCAACUUAACUAGUUCGUUAUAUAACGAACACAAUUGGAUUCUAAGCUAGUUAUUUUGUUAAAGAUAUAUAUGAACCGCUCAUAUUUAUAAAUGCGUUAACGAUUAUUAAUUUGGAUGUAAAUUUAUAGAGAUAAUUUACUCAUGUAUACCUUAAAAUUAGACGAUCUUUAAUCUUUAAUUUGGAUAUGUGAUCGAAAAGUGAUUGAAACAAAAAUUCUCACCUUAGUGGUCCUCCUGACUAAAUGCAUAAAUAAAUUGACGAACAGUAUGCCAGUAUUUAAUGGUGAACAGUUGAAAAAGAGGAAGAAAUGAUCUCGAAUGUCAAAGUAUACAUGUUGCAGCCAAGUGCAAAGUCAACAAUCCCAUUCAAACAACGCCUUCGACCCAUCGUCCAUUCAAACGAUCUCUUAUAUAUCUAUGUCGAUCCUGGCUUUGGCCUAUUAUCCUUACUACCACAGCAAGUUUGCUAGCAAGAAUUUUCUUACAAGAAAUGGCAGGAAGUUCUAUGAGGGCUGCUCUGGUGACUCUGUUCAUCUUCGCAAUGGUUCUGUCUCCGAUUACAACCUCCGAGGCUGCUCGGUUCACGUUUCUAGGUAAUUCCCAGAUACCAUCAACAGUAUAACGUACACUGACAAAUGUUGUUGUUUUGGAUUGGGGAAUGUUGAUCUUGAUUUUUAUUUUAUUUUUGCUUUGCAGAUACAACUCCCAUAUGUCCUGCUUGUGUUUGCUGCGCACCUCCACCGCCGGGCUCUUGCUGCGAUUGUUGUGCCUCACCGAUUGAAACUCAGUCCGAGCAAGGGUCUCCAUAGGACAGCAAAUAUGUUUGUCAUGAAGAAGAGUACACGUAUAUGUAAUUAUCUAUAAAUAAUGGGGUUCACGGUGUCAGAGAAAAAGAACCAUCAUUUGUAUGUAGAAAGUGAUGACAUGGUUGUUUCAUAAUGAAGCAAUAAGAUUAAUUAAGAUUGUAUAAGGAUUAUUGUAUCCUUACACAUGUAUACUUCAAACAUAUAUUUCUCUUUAUACAGUAGACAUAUUACAAAUUAGUGAGAUAGUUCUAAUCAUCAUAUUGGUUCUCAUCCUAAUUAGGGCCGGGUUAACUUCAUAUAAACCCAAUGAUUUUUAUACAAAAUAAGACAACAUUAAAUUACAAAAUUCUUACUACAACCAAACACUUAGAGAGUCAAAAUAGAAGGCUUAACCAGCUGCAAGAGGAAGGGAUAUGUCCCAGGCUUGCGUUCCAAGUUGAUGUUCCAACUUUGCAAUAGCUUCCGCCACAAAAAAGUUAGAUUCCCGAUGAACAUGUGUGAAAAAAACUUGUCCAAUUUGAGAGGCAAAGAAAAUGAUAUCUUUGACAAGAACUUGAAUCUUUCAAGGGGAAAGACACGUACCAUUGAUGGAUUGAUAAGGAUUUGUGAAUCUCCUUCAACUAUAAUUUUUGGAUAACCAUGGAUCAAGGCUGCUAAUAAACCCGUACACAACGCAGAAGGUUUAGCAGUAAGUACAUCAUUAUUUUUAGUAGAUGCUAGAAUUGGUUGACCAUCUGCAUCUCUAAUUACAAACCCUGAUGAGGCAGAGUGAUUCUGAACGGAUCUGUCAAAAUUGAGUUUAAGUGUCUGAGGAGGAGGAGCAUGCCAACGAAUAGGCUUAAUAAACCUAUAAGAUUUCUUAGUGUAAUAAGCAUUAACAGUAGAAUAAUAACAAAAAAAAAUUCGUUGCAAAGUAAACAACAUUUUCAGGAUGGACGACAUGGUUUCUAAAUAAAUAAAUGUAAGAUCAUUUCUUGCUUUCCAAAAACCUACCACUAAGGUCCCAAACCCGGGUCCAAGAAUGAGUACGUGUGUGCCCAUAGUCUAAAGCCCAUCUCAUCCCAUCUAAUUAAGCCCCAAACAGCCCACAGUGGAAACCCAAAUGUGCUAUGGACACCCAAUCUUGCCUUGUUGAUGUCCUUCGAUAACCGACUGACUUGGACGACGACCACACCCGAUCGGUUUGGAAAUGCAGCCACAACACCACUCGUCAGAGAACGCCCGUAGCGUACCAUGAUUUAUUGACAUAGAAAGAAAAAACGUUAACAUAGUAAGAAAAAAUGAAGCCUCUGAAUAAACAUAUGGGACAUACCUUCUCAUUUUUUUUUUUUUUGUCAAUUUAGAUGGCUUUUGCAUUUAGCUCUGUUCUCUAAUUUUGUCAAAUUAGGCACAUCCUCAUUAUCUAGCUUCUCUCUUCUAUAUGAAGAGUUGCCAAGUCAACUAUGAUCAAUGGAGAAAUUGGACAACAAGCCUCGAGCUUUAGUGGUGCUAACUAGUUCGUUAUAUAACGAACACAACUGGAUUUUAAGCUAGUUAUUUCGUUAAUGAUGUAUGAACCUUUCACAUUUAUGAACACGUUAAUGAUUUUCAAUUUAGAUACAAAUUUGCAGAGAUGAUCUACUCAUAUAUACCUAAAAACUAGACGAUCGAUCUUCAAUUUAAAUAUCCGAUCAAAAAGUGAUUGAAAUAAAGAAGUCCUCAACUUAGUAAUUCUCAUUAAAAAGGGCUAUGAAUCCGUAAAAUAAAUGGACGAAUUGUAUGCCAGUGUUUAAUGGUGAACAGUUGAGAAAAAGAGGAAGAAAUGAUCUAGAAUGUCAAUGUAUACAUGUUGCAGCAAAGUGGAAAGUCAACAAUCCCAUUCAAUCAACGCCUCCGACCCAUCGUCCAUUCAGACAAUCGCUUAUAUAUCUAUGUCCUGGUUUGGCCUAUUAUCCUUGCUACCACAGCAAGUUUGCUAGUAAGAAUUUUGUUAUACAAGAAAUGGCAGGAAGUUCUAUGAGGUCUGCUCUGGUGACUCUGUUCAUCUUCGCAAUGGUUCUGUCUCCGAUUACAACCUCCGAGGCUGCUCGGUUCACGUUUCUAGGUAAUUCCCAGAUACCAUUAACAGUAUAACAAUGUAAACGUUGUUGUUUUGGAAUGGGGAAUGUUGUUCUUGAAUUUUUUUGCUCUGCAGAUACAACUCCCUUAUGUCCUGCUUGCGUUUGCUGCGAUUGUUGUGCCGGACUGAUUCAAAAACAGUUCGAGCAAGGGUCUCCAUGAGAGAGAGAGAGAGAGUUGUUUUAAGGAGAGUAUAUGUAUAUAUCUAUAUAUGGGGUUCUUAGUGUUAAAGAAAAAAUAAUCAUCACACGUAUAGAGAAAGUUGUGACAUGGGUUUCUAGCUCAUGGGGAAACCAUGUUCUAUCAAGGUUUUGGUGUUUCAUAGUGAAGCAAUAAGAUUAAGCUUGUAUAAGGAUUAUAUAUUGUAUCCUUAGACAUGUAUACUUCAACACCGUUAUAAAGAGAAAUAUAUGAAAGACAUACAUAAGUUAUCUUAGCGUUAUAAGGAGUGUGUAUUAUCAUUUGAAUCGAAAUUAUAGGCCGAUUUGAAGAUUGGAAGUAUAAAAAGUUCUUGUGAUUAUCCCUAAUUACAUACACCUUCCAACUAGGGCCGGGCGCGGGCCAAGACCGGCCACAGAUUUGGCAAGACCGGGACCGGACCGGCGGUACAGAAACUGGUCCAAGCUUCCACCUGAAAAUUUCCCAGACUGACCAAAGCCCAGACCAACCAAAAACUGGCCGAUCCUUCGGGCCUUCGAUACUUCACAAUGCGGUCUGAAAAUUGAAGCUCACACUAUGACACUAUCAAUCAAAAAUGACUCUUUCAGUCUUCAAUUUCAGUUUCAGCCUAAUUCAAAGUUCAAACUCAGAGAGAAGAAACUAGAAGAUGAAGAAGACGACUCACAUAUCGACUAUGGUUAACGUACAAUGGUCGACGAAUUCCAGUUUUAGGAUUUGAUAAAUGGGGUUGCGUUAGACUGUGUCUCGAACGGUGGUCGGUGUCAGGGUAGGCGGCGGCUAGGGUUUUGGUUUGUUGAUGGGGACCUUGAUUCUGCACAUGGAAAGGUUGAUUUUGUGGCUCUGGGACUCUAGGUAGGAUUAUGAAGGGAGAUUACGAAUUGGGUCAACAUGGAUUGAGGGUUUGGGGUUGGAUUGAGAAUUAGGUUUUUUUCCUCAGAUUGAAGAAGAUGAAGAUGAGUUGGGAUUUUGGGCACGACUGAGGGUUUGGGGCGAUUGAAGAAGAUGAAGAUGAAUCGGGAUUUUAGGCACAACAGAGGUUGUGUUUAUUUUAUUUUUAUUUUUAUUUUUCCGAUGAAAGACGAAGUCUGAGUGUUUAGGUUUAGAACUUUGGGAAUCAUAAAGGAAAUUGACUUAAUUGAGUGCUUCAAGUAAAAAAAAAGAAAAAGAAAAAAAAAGGAAAAUGAAUGGAUUUGAAGCUAUUUGCAUGUUGGGAAAGUAGAAAAUAUAUGUCGGGCUUUCGGGCCGUGAAAAGCAAAUAACAUUAGGGACUGGGCCCUGUCGGAACUUGACUUUUCCUGUAACAAGCCCUGAAAAAAGCCCGACUCGACCUGACCGGUCCGGGUCGGUUUACCGAUUUUUUUUUUAUUAUUUAAUGGGCUUUAUGCCCAGCCCUACUUCCAAACAUUUAACUUGACCCACCUGAUUUCAUAAAGGUUACAUGGAUCAUCAGUGAGCCCUGACAUAGUUAGUUAGCUAGGUUGUCUAACUAACAACGUUGAUAUCAUAAGUUCAAACAUUGCUGAUAUAUUUUUAAGGAAAAAUAGUCAAAACAGUGUCUCACAUUUUGAAGAAGCAAAGCUUUGGUAUCUCACAUUCAGAAAACUUUAAAACAGUAUAUAUCUCACGUUCUUACCUCGACCAAAGUUUGGUAUCUAGAAUCGUUAGCUCCGUUAAAAAAACCGAUGACAACCAUUUUUAUUCAUGAAAUGACCAAUAUACCCUUGAGUUUUUGUUUUUGUUGUUCUUUUUAUAUAAUAAAAAGAGAAAUUCGUCAUAACGGUACCUCAUCUUUUCUUCCUUAUAAACUUUGGUACUUUAAGUUUUGAUAACAUCAGAACGGUACCUUAAGUUUUCACCCCGACCUAAUUUUAAUACUUUUAACCGUUAGUUCUGUUACGGGGGUUGCUAGGUGGCAAUUUUUAUCUUUUCAAGUCUUCAUUCAUUUUUUUACUUUUGAAACACAAACAAAUAUUCUUGAGUUAUUUUUUUCAUGAGUUUGCAAUUAAUGAAAUCCAUAAAUAAAAAUAAAGAUUCCUGAGAUUUUAUUUUUUUCAUUUCGUAUGUUGCUUGUCAUAACAUCAUAAACAUUCAAUAGUAAAUCUCUUGUAAAAACUCACUUAAUAAAAGAUUUAAACAUCUUUCUCUUCAGCUCUGGUCUAGAAAAGUAAUUCACCUUUUCAAUUCUAUUCGAUCCAACUCUUUUCGUGAAGCUCCUAAUUUCCUAAAGAUAGAGGAAAGAAGAAGAUAACAAUUUUCCCUCUACAAAAAAAAACCAUUUUUUAUUAUUAUUACAGAGAUGAAAUAUAUAUUUAGAGAAAAAAUAAUGAAUUGAAAUAUGAAGAGACUAAAAAUACCCAUAAAAAAUGGCUAGCUGACAGUUCCUUUAUCGGAGGUUACGGCUAAAAGUAUUAACAUUGGGUCGGAGUGAAAACUUGAGGUACCGUUCUAAUGUUUUUAAAACUUGAAGUACCAAAGUUUAUAAGCAAGAAAAGAUGAGGUAUUGUUAUGACAAAUUUCUUUUGAAUAAGAAAAACAAAAACUGAAGGGUAAAUUAAUCAUUUUAUGUAUAAAAAUGGCUGUCGAUAGUCUUUUUAACGGAGCUAACGGUUUUAGAUACCAAACUUCGGUCAAGAUAAGAAUGUGGGAUAUUGUUUUGAAGUUUUCCAAAUGUGAGAUAACCAAAGCUUUGCUUUUUUAAAAGGUGAGACAUUGUUUAGACAAUUUUCCUUAUUUUUAAAUAAAAAUAAAAAUUAAAAAAUAAUGGUUAAACGGGCUCAUUUUGUGUUGGUUUUGUAUCAACAUGCGAAUGACCUAUUUAUUAAACGGGCCUUGACGGGCUGUUUUCCAAGUUGUGGCAGAAUUGAUAGCAGCGGUAGGGUUGACUUGAAUUGUGACCGAUAGCUAAAAUCUACAAAGUGAGGUUGCAGCUUCCUCUGUUUUCAUUGGAAGAACAGAGAAAAAGCGAGGUGAUGGUGCUUAUACUGAUGUUCAAACUUAUCCUUUUCGCCUUGCUUUUUGCUUGGUUUUGUGGUAUACGAUCAAUAGGCAUUACCGAUUUUACCCAAAACCAGAAUUAAUUACUUGUUUUGAUCAUUACUUCAUGCCUUACUUCAUUAGUAUAGUUGUCUGCGGUUUGAUCACUCAGAUUUCAUCAGAUUGGCCCUCUGGACUGCCAACAUGUCCUCUCAGAUGAACCUUCUGAAAAUUAUUGUGUAAAUCAGUAAAUCUCAUCAGCCUUAUUCCUGAAAGGAGAUGGUUCAACUCUCCCUCCUUUCACCAAUGCCACUGAGGUCUACAUACAUGGUAAGGCAUAUUCAUAGACUUUGUCCAUCAAAUUUCAAGUAUGCAUGAUUGAAUUCACUGAAUUCAGUAUAUAUGAAAAUCAUUGUGGUUGCCAUCACGAACAUGAAGUGGGUAUGAAUUGGGAAGGAGACCUUUUGUGAUCCCCAAGAAUACAUUACGGAAAUGUUGCUGUUCAUAGAAUGGUAUAUUGAAAAGUCGAGUAUACAUAGAGCUAGUGACAAACUUGUAUAGAAUGAUCUGACUCAUUCACAUACUAUUUCCUUGACAUAAAAGUCAGAGAGGAGGAUUGGUAGAAGUUUGGGAAAAGUUUCUUCUUCAUAAUUCAUCCCAAGUUGCACUUCAUACACUAGUGAUUUGUUAAUACUUAGUCGUCUUCACAACCAGGAUCACACACACACACACACACACACACACACACACACACACACACAACAAAAAAAACCAGAAAAAAAAAAAAUGUUUAGACAUAGUUGACUACAGCAAGCUAAGCUCUCUUAGUUGGUAGAAGAACUACUUGGUCCUCAACUAAUAGUACCCUGAUGAUCAUUGUUGAAAGCAUCAACUUGGGGAUUUCAUCAUAGAUGACCAAACUCAUGAACUUGCCACUAAUUCUUUCAAGUCUGGAUAUACCAUGACUUGAUCGACUAGUAGUAGUUCCCAUCUGCAUACUUCUUUCCCAAAUUCGAGUCUGAAACGUCUCACAAAGCGUGUAACGAUGUGGCAGAGAUUUAAGCAGUUCUUUCUCUUCGUAGUAUUCGGUUGUUUUGCUCUUAAUAUUCAGCUUCUAGUUCAUGCUCAGGAUGAUCAAUCAGGUAUACUAUCAGCAGUACAGGAACUUAUCUUAGUAGUAUUUUAACUAUUUUGUAGUGUAAAAUUUUCUCAGACACACACACACAGAGUUAUACACACAUAUUUUUGAUUCAAUGAAUUUAACAUCAUUCAAUUUUGAAAAUGACGAAUUUGAUACAUGGAUAUCAUCCCUUAUACUUAAGAGCUAAGAGUACUAACAACUCUCUCUGUGUCUGUCUGAUUAAGGCUUCAUUAGCAUCGACUGUGGCCUACCAGAAAAUUCAAGCUACACUGAACAGACAACAGGCAUUCAUUACAUCUCAGACGCGGGAUUCAUAGACACCGGUGAAAGUAAAUUGGUAUUGCAUGACAACAGAGAGAGCUAUCAACAACCUUACUUAUCUUUUAGGAGUUUUCCCAACGGAACCAGAAACUGCUACAAGAUAAGUGUGGCAAAGGGCACCAAAUAUUUGAUCAGAGCAAGUUUCUACUAUGGGAAUUAUGAUGGUCAAAAUGAAAUACCAGAAUUCGACCUACAUCUUGGGCCUAAUUACUGGGAUACAGUGAGGUUGAAGGAUGCGGACACUACAACACACAAGGAGCUUAUACAUCACACACUACGGCGGAACUACAUACAUGUUUGUCUGGUGGAGUCAAACAAAGGUAUUCCAUUUAUAUCAGCAAUAGAGCUAAGGCCUUUACCUAACGAAACUUAUGAAGUGAAGGACUACUCCUUGGCACUAAUCUGGCGAUAUGACACUGGUCAAAAUUCUAAACAGUACAGGUCAGUCAUUUGCUGGGAAAUCCCUAAAGUUGCGAGAAUUUUACCUAUCAGUAUAUCCAAAUUCCAUGGAAUCUUAUUUAUAUUAAUUUUCAUUGGAUAUGAGAUAAAAUUUAAUGGUGAAAUAUGUCUAUAUAGGUAUCCAAGUGAUGUUCAUGAUCGUAUAUGGUAUCCAUUUGACCGUGAUGAUUGGGUACAAAUAAAUACCUCGUUAACUAGCACCACCGACGACAAUAGCUACCAAGUUCCAUCUGUUGUCAUGUGUAGUGCUGCAACACCCGAAAAUCCAGAUGAUUCCAUGAAUAUUUUCUGGCUACCUUCUGAUAACAAUGCACAGUAUCAAAUUUAUAUGCACUUUGCAGAAGUAGAAAAGCUCCAAGCAAAUGAGUCUAGACAACUCAAUAUUACUUUCUAUGGAAACCUCUAUUAUGGACCAUUUUCUCCUGAUUACAUGUCGGCCAUAACUAUUUAUAGCGUACGGGCUUGGAGUCCAACAGGAGAAUAUAUAAAGUUUUCAAUCUUGAAGGAUUUGAACUCUACCCUUCCACCUAUCCUCAAUGCUUAUGAAAUUUAUAUGGUCAAGCCGGCUUCCCAAUCAGAGACAAACCAAGACGACAGAGUAAUUCUUUCCUUUCACAAUUAAGCUAAUUACUUUCUCAAGUCCAUUUAGUACAUAUGAGAUCGAAUUUGAUCACAAUUUUGUUUUGGAUAUGAAAAAAUAGUUGAUGCUAUCACAAAAAUCAAGUCGGCUUAUAAGAUUACAAGAAACUGGCAAGGGGAUCCAUGUUCCCCUCAAAACUACUCUUGGGAAGGCUUGAAGUGUAGCUAUGCUGGAAACAUCACGAGAAUAAUAUCCUUGUAAGUCUCUCCAUGCAUAAAUCUCCAUUCUGAGUUCAACUUGUAUAUAUAUGUGUUAUAAACUGGACAGCAAAUAUUGCAAUAAGCUUAAUAGUCAAGGGAUACAAUGUACAGGGACUUGUCCUCUAGUGGACUGACAGGGGAGAUAUCUCUUUUUAUAUCCAAUCUCACGAUGAUAAAAACUUUGUAAGUAUAUAUACUUGCAUACCUUUACUGUGUGUCAAUAAUGAAGUUAGAAUGAACGCUAAUCUGAGUUGAUAAAAUCACAUUGCAAGUAUAAUAGUCUCUUUCUCUCAAGUGGAAAGAUACUGAUAAGUUUACCAAAUUAAAUGACUACGUACUGCUCAUGAUUUCAGAGAUUUAUCGAACAACAACCUAAGAGGAUCAAUUCCAGAGUUUUUGUCUCAGUUGCCAGAAUUGAAAGUUCUGUAAGUUAUUUCUUUUGGUGCGCAUAGCCUAAAAAGUGAGGUUGUUCUUACAACUAAGAGUUGAGAUUCAUGUUAAUUUGCAGAAACUUGGAAAAGAACAACUUCACAGGUUUAGUUCCAUCAAGACUCAUUGAGAGAAGGAACAACGGUUCACUGCAGCUAAGGUGUGUUUUUUUACAUAUGAAACCACAAACCUUCAAUUUUCGCAUCACACACUUCAAAACCAUGUCAUAACUUAUCUUAGCAUAGAGAUGCCACAAAAUUUCCACAUCUGUUACAUGCAUAGAGAUGCCACAAGUUUUCCUUUCUAACACAACAUGAUCAGAUAUAUAUAUAUAUAUAUAUAUAUUUCCAUUGAAACUAGAUUACAUGCAUCCUCGUCUUACAUACGCAUUUAUGUUUUUAACAAGAAUAACUGAACUUUUGCCAUCAACCUUUUGAUGCCAGUUUGUGUGAUAAUCAUCUAUCCAUACAAGUUUCAUGCAAGAAGAAGAAGCACAAUAUUUUUCUUGUCGUAGUGCCAAUUCUCGUAAUUGUCAUCCUCUUAUUGACAAUAGGAGCUGUCUUAUUGGGCCUUAAAAAGAAACAAAACCUGGUAAGACUUCCAAAUGUAUAUUGAAGUUUUUGUUUUCCUUUUGUUUUCCAUAUUUAAUAAGGCUUAAGAUUCCAAUUACAGAUGUUUUUUCUUUAUCAGAAGAGAAAAAAAAAAAAAAGACUACAAGAAUGUAGCUCAUUAACCUUGUAAAUAAUGAUGUUAGGUACGUUAUUGUUCCUGGUAUAAAUAAAGCAAUUCGAAUCGUUUUGGUGUGCAGAUACCCAGAAUUCCAUCCAAAGCUGGUCGUUGGAGCCAGAGGGUCAACGCUUUACAUACUCAGAACUUGUGAAGAUUACUAAUAAUUUUGCAUCAAUCAUUGGGAAAGGCGGAUUCGGAAGAGUCUACCAUGGCACUCUGAAGAAUCAUAUUCAAGUCGCUGUGAAGUUACUGACUUCUUCAUCAAGGCAAGGCUCGAAAGAAUUCCAAAAUGAGGUAGCUAGACAUGUUACAGUAAUUUAUACUAGUUCUUGAUGAUCUAGAUGUUCAAAAUCUAACGAUACAUAUAUGCACUAGUAGUAUAUGACUAUAUGCGCAUUGCAAGAUUUGCGGCCAUAUUGCUAACUGUUGUGGCCAUAACAAAUUGCAGGUCAAAUUAUUGAUGACGGCUCAUCAUCGAAACUUGGUUUCUCUCAUUGGUUACUGCGACGAAGGUGACACUAUGGCACUUGUUUUUGAGUAUGUAGCCAACGGAAAUCUGCAGCAACAUUUAUCAGGUGGUCAUGAUCACUAAGAUGAGCUGGUUAACUAGAUUCACUAUGUACUUAUCUAUAUAUUGUACUCAUCAGUCCAGAAUCAUCAUAAGAAAAUUGUUGAAUCCUAGCCAUAUGUAACUAAUGCAAGACCAUAUGCAACUAAUCUCGGUGCAGAUCUGACGUUAAACGUUUUGACUUGGAAGGAACGACUUCAAAUCGCCGUGGAUGCAGCACGAGGUUAACACUGAAAUUACAAUGAAAUCUUAAUAAAAGCAUCAAUGUAAGAACUAGUAAAGUCAAUCAUCAGUUACCUUAGUUAAAAUGUCAUUUUGCAGGGUUGGAUUAUCUACAUAAUGGUUGCAAGCCACCUAUAGUCCAUAGAGAUCUGAAGGCUUCCAAUAUCUUGUUAAAUGAAAAGUUGCAAGCCAAGAUAGCUGAUUUUGGUCUUUCUAAAGUUCUUGCAACUGAAAGUGCCACUCAUAUAUCAACUGAUGCCAAAGGAACAUUCGGGUACCUUGAUGCUGAGUAAGUACGAAGUUGCCAAAACAAGAAAGUUAUCUACUAAUUUACAUGCAUUUCAAAUUUCUAUUCUUAAAACUGUACAUAUAUAUAUAUAUACAUAUAAUUAUAUAUAUCAUGUAAAACAACUCAUUAUAUCCAUGGCUUUAAAAAAAACUCAUUAUGAUAUUAGACAUUGACAUUUUUUUUUCCUUCAUUCUGGCGCGCCAGAUACUGCAAUACAGGACAGCUCAACAAAAAGAAUGAUGUAUACAGCUUUGGGAUUGUGUUGCUGGAGCUAAUAACUGGCAGAGCAGCCAUAAUAAGAGAUGUAGAACCGUUUCCUAUUCACAUAUGUCAAUGGGUGACUCCUAUAUUUGAGAAUAUGGAAAUUGAAAAGAUAGUUGAUUCAAGAAUACGGGGUACCUACAACCAUUUUUCUGCUAGGAAAGCUAUAGAAAUUGCCAUGGCAUGUGUGCCUUCAUCAGCAAUCCAAAGGCCAGAAAUAAGCUCUGUGUAUGUUCAAUUGAAGGAAUGCUUGGAAAUUGAGAUGACCUCUGAACAAGUAACAACAGUUACAGAGGUUCAUGAGAGCGAUGAUGAUACGAAUUCAAGUAGUUCAGCUCUUGUAACUUGACAUGUGGAGUCCGAAACAUAAAGUACUGCCUUUUAUUUUACCCUUUAUCCCACUAUGCAUGGAAUUUAUAUAUAUGAUGUUCUUCUGUUCAAUAGAAUUUUUAAUGUAUAAAACACAAAAAAAAUUAUCCGCGCAUCUUUAUUACUUCAUACACAUCUUCAAUUUUUUUCAAAAAUUUAAAUACUUUUGUACCUUUUUUUUUUGUAAAAUAGAAAUUUAUUCGAUUCCAAUCAAUAGCCAGAAUAUUACCAAUGGCGAGGAGUAAAAACUCCAUACAUAAAUUGCGAGCACACAACUGAACUAGCUUGAACUUGUUCACGAUCCACUCAUUCAUUAUGAUCAUCUUAUAAUAUAAGAUUGUGAAAUCCACACACCAUUUUUUCCUUUUUAGUAACUUAAAUUUCGUCUUUUACUGACUUACACUUUAUCUUUUUGUGAAUAUGUUAACCAAAAAAGAAAAUAGAAAAUUUCAUAUAAGUCUACAUUGAGACAUUUUAUUCCGCAUAAGUCCACCUCAACAUUUUUACCCAUACAAGUCCACUUUACAGGCUCAAUUUUUUUAUCAUGACUAUCUUACCCUUAUGCUUCAAAAUAUCUCAUAUCUCUCACAUCUCACCCAUUCAUUUGGUUUUUCUCUCNNNNNNNNNNNNNNNNNNNNCUCUCUCUCUCUCUCUCUCUCUCUCUCUCUCUCUCUCUCUCUCUCUCUCUCUCUCUCUCUCUCUCUCUCUCUCUCUCUCUCUCUCUCUCUCUCUCUCUCCAUUCUUCCACCUUUGAUUUUGACGCUGUCGCUAGGACGAAGCCACCACCACCUCGACGACGAUUUUCUAUCAUCCUCGAUUUUAUUUCUGACGAUGACGCUGGAAUUUGGAUCGACCGUCAACGAUGCCUCGACGACCUUUUCUUCGGCCUCGAUCGCAUCUACAAGAUCCAACUGAUUACGACAACGACAUCGUCCACCUCCUGCUCGGCGCCCGACUAGUCACGCGCCUCCUCUACUAAAGUAGAGAUCUUCUGCGCCUUAGUAGAUCUACCAGAUCUUUCUCCCCAUAUCGUCGUUGACCUUCAUGGUGGCAGAUCCACCGUCGACGGCGAAGACGUCAUCUUAGGGUUUCAAUUUUCAGUGUUCAGAAGCGGUCUGCCGGAGGUUGGCUGGAGGUCGGCUCCGGUCCUACAUCGAUUAUCUGCCCUCAGAUUUCUCCAUAUAUAUUUGAUAGUUUUCCUUGGUAGCUUGUAUAGUGUUUGAGUCCAUUGCAUGGUAAGAUGCGUUUGUAAUUUGGCUGGAGUCUAUUUUCUUUGGUUUUGAGAAAUUGUAAACAAAGAGUAGAGUGAUGUUUUGUGUUGAUGUUGCUCUUCAUUCGAUAGAAAUUUAGUGGAAGAGAAAUAAUGUGAUCGUGUUCCGAUAGUGUAUGAGAUGAAUGCAAUCAAAAUUUCAAAUUUGUAAAGGUCUUAGAGUGUAGUAUAUUUUCAACACAGUUGUAGUACAUUUUUGUCAUUGUGGUAGUAUAUUUUGACAGAUCGAGUAGAUUUUGUAUUACUUAGAUAGUAUUUUUGUUGGUGGUUGUAGUAUAUUUUGUGGGUUAUGGUAGUAGCUUUUAUUGGUGGCAAUAGUAGUUUUGGCUGCUGGUGGUAGUAUAUUUUGUUGCUGACUGUAGUAUUUUUUGUUGGUGGCAAUAGUAGCAUUUUUGCUGGCAGUAAUAGCUUUUAUUGCUAAUGGUAGUAGUUUUCUUUGCUUGUGGUAGUAGCUUUUUUUGCUCUCAGUAGUAUAUUUUGUUGUCAGUGGUAUAUUUUGUUGUUAGUGGUAGUAGCUUUUUUUACUGACGGUAGUAGUUUUUGUUGCUAUCGGUAGUAGCUUUCUUUGCUGGUGACAGUAGCUUUUUUUGCUAUCAGUAGUAUAUUUUGUUGUCAGUGGUAGUAGUCUUUUUUUGCUGGCGGUAGUAGCUUUCUUUGCUGGUGGCAGUAGGUUUUUUUUGCUAUGAGUAGUAUAUUUUGUUGUCAAUGGUACGGUAGUAGUCUUUGUUGCCAUCGGUAGUAGCUUUCUUUGCUGGUGGUAAUAAUUUUUUUGCUAUCAGUAGUAUAUUUUGUUGUCAGUGGUAGUAGUUUUUUUGCUGGCGGUAAUAGCUUUCGUUGCCAUCGGUAGUAGCUGGUGGCAGUAGCUUUUUUUGCUAUCAGUAGUAUAUUUUGUUGUCAAUGGUAGUAGCUUUUUUUGCUGGUGGUAGUAGCUUUUGUUGCUAUCUGUAGUAGCUUUUUUAUUAGUGGCAGUAGCUUUUUUGCUAUCAAUAGUGGCAGUAGCUUUUUUUGUCUUUUUUUUUUGUCUAUCAGUAGUAUAUUUUGUUAUCAAUGGUAGUAGUUUUUUUUGUCUGGUGGUAGUAGCUUUUGUUCCUAUCGGUAAUAGUUUUCUUUGCUGGUGGCAGCAAUUUUUUUUGUUAUCGAUAGUAUCUUUUGUUGUCAGUGGUAGUAGCUUUCUUUGUCGGCGAUAGUAUCUUUUGUUGUCAGUAAUAGUAGCUUUUGUGGUCGCUAGAAUCCUCACAAAUGGUUGGCCGAAAAAUUCGCCGGAGGUCGGCCGGAAAGUUCAUCGGAGGUCGGCCGGAGUCCUCGCCGGAAGUCAACCGGAGACCAUUUGUGAUUGUUGACCUUUUAUAUUAGUGGUAUUUUUGUAAAUAUAAGAGAGAAAAUCUAAUUUUUUGGUUGGAUGACAGUCUGUAAUUUUAUUAAACUUUAAUACCUAAUAUAAGACUUUAUUUAGGCUUGGGUGGACUUAUGUGGGUAAAAAUGUUUAGGUGGACUUAUAUGAGAAAAAAUGUCUCCAAGUAGACUUCUAUGUAAUUGACCCAAAUCGUUAAUACAUUCAUAAGUGUGAUUCACCAAUUAUGAAUUUUAACGGUUCAUGUUUGACAGAUUUGGUUCGUCCAUUAAUUUGAUCUAGUUUGUUACUUUAACGAUCACCGAUUUGACUGAAAAUUGGUAUGACCAAUCUAUUUAUAUAGGCUUAAAAAUUGAACGGAUUAGAUGUUAAGAUGUGAUAAUAAAAAAUGUUUUUUAAACCAUAAACUAAAAAGUUCUCAACUUAAGGUCCUCACUAAAAGAGCUCUCAUAUAUAGUCAAAUAAUAUAUAAUAUAAUUAAGUCUUAAAAAUUCCUUAAAUAAUGGUCAACUUUCCACAAGAAGCAUGCCGCACCAAGGAUUAAAAUCUCUGCGAUAUAUCUGAUAGAUAUAUUUUUUUUCUUCGAAUGACCGAUAUAUCUAAAGGGUAAAUAUCUUAUUAUCUUCUACCAUAUCUCUGAUAUUUCUCUGAUACCGUUAAAUAUUAAAGAUAUUUAUCUCCGAUAUAUAAGAAAUAUCUCUGAUAUUUAGGAUAUUUAAGAUAUAUUUUUGAUAUAUUAAAGAAAUAUCUGUAAAAAAAAUUCACAUAAAGAAAAAUCACAUUCAACAAAUAUUCGAGAGAUGAGUAAUUGUCUCAAGUAUGAACAAUCUUCUACAGUGGUAGAAUUGAACAAUUUUUCAUAUGAAGAAAAUUAUGAUAAUGUCUCCCAAAAUUAUGAUAUAGGGAUAUAUCGGAUAUAUAGAGAUUUUAAUCCUUAGUUUUGAUAUCGGUUCAGUUUUGACAGUUUAAUAUGGAACCGAGGCCGAGAACAAACACCUAGAUACUCGGUUCGGGUGGGUUAUUUUACUUUUCGAGAACCGAGAUGGGACCGACCCGAUCACAAACAUUUCGGCUACUAGAAUAAGGCGAACGUGCACUCCAUCCAGUGAAGCCGUAAGCAACGCUCCUCUGUCUUAUGCUUCGCUUGAAACCUCUGAAAUAAUGCCCGCAUUUGCUUUCGGAGAUCACUCAACCUCUGACCUCUCAAAGGUCAGUCUUUUUCACUUGGCUUCAUUUGAAUUGUGUCGAUGGAAUAUCUAUUUGGGUUUUGCAGUUGUCCUACACAAAGCCAAAACAAAAUUCUUAGAGGGUUAGAGAUUCCGGAUUCUGGGUCUAGAGGAAUGAGGUUUCAAGUAUUAUGUUUUUCAGGAUUGAAACUUUGAUUACUGGGUUGUCUGUUAUGUUCGAGAAUAGGGGCACCAACUCAGCAACUGCCAGGCUUCAUGAAAUUUAUUUGUUGGUUAUGUUUGAACUCUGUUUAUUAAUGAAAUAAUGGGAGAUACAAAUUAACGCUCAAGAAAUUCCCUCCCAGAUGUAGGAAAUAUUGUUUUCUGGAGAAGAUGCUAAUCUGGUAUUGACCUGUUGACCUAUUGAACGUAUUAUUAGCCGUGUUGCUGCCAAAACUGGUCCUAUUACAAUUCCUGCAAAUUGUGGAAAUUUGACCAGCAUUAGGGUUAACAUUAGUUCUAUGAGAAUUCGGAGAAAUUUCCCACCUUGACUAGGACCAGGACCAGUGGACCACCCAACUCAUUAAUUCUUGAUUGAUGCAGCAGCUAUUUCGUUUGACUUGACUUGGCUGUAUGCUGUAUUAGUUAGUAGUUACUUGUAGUUCUCAUUUGCCUUAAUUUUUACGUCUUUGGAUCUUGUUCACUUGUGGAUUUUUCACUUGAGUAAAGUUUUCUACAAGUAAUUGAUGUAGUGUAUGAGCCAAUUUGGCACAGGACAGGACAUAAAUCCUAGUUGAACUUCUUGUCUUUGUCAAGAAAAAGGGAAGUAGGAUGGACCUUUGUGUCAUAUGCAAUGCAGUCUAUUGGUAUUUUGGAGUGAUUACCAAUUUGUUUGAUUGGAUUGAAGUUCAGUUUACACGUUAGCGACAAUUCAUGAGUUUUGAGGAAAUCAUACUGUAUCUUGUAUAAAAGCUAUUUGGAAUAAAACCCAAAUUUUUUUUUUCGUUCUCUCCAAUUUUUGAUUUUAAGGAAUCACUAUGAAGUUGAUAUAUCAUAUAUGGUUCAAGAUAUUGUAUUCUCAACAUCUAUUUUGGCUCACAUUACCCAAAAAUGGAAAGAUCAACGUUCCUACACUACUAGUUUUGGCGUAUGGACUUGUUUGCUUAAUUAGCUGCAAUUGCGGUUGUAUAUCAUGUGAUUGAAACAUUAGGUAGUCCGACUAGUGAGUUGAUUUGUGGUCAAAGUAAACUCUAGAAGAUGGACCAUGGUGUUCCUCAUUCAUAAAGUGAUGGUAGGCACCAAAAGCAGAGUUCCCCCAGUCAUGAUAUUUGUUUUAAAAUAAACUUUCUCUCUACAUGUUUCCUGAAGUAUUAUCAAGAAUUAUGUCAUUGAUAUUCAUGCAAUUGUUCUUUGCUUUUAGUCUUAUAUUCCUUGUUCAUGCCCAAGAUCAAACAGAUCAAACAGGUAUAAAUGUCAAUGGUGUAUUAAUGAUAUGCUAAUUAUUAUAUUUCUUUUGAUUGGAGAUUUCAUUCAUAGAAGUAUAUAGAAGCUAAGAGAGUAAAUGUGUCUGCAGGCUUCAUCAGCAUUGAUUGUGGCAUAGCUGAAAAUGUUAGCUACACUGACGUGAAUUCAGGCAUCAAGUACAUUUCAGAUGCAAGGUUCAUAGACACUGGUGAAAGUAAGUUAGUUUGGCCCAAUCAAAGAAAUAACUAUUCACAGCCAUACUGGACUCUUAGGAGAUUCCCAGAAGGAAUCAGGAACUGCUACAAAAUAGAUGUCACAAGUGGAAUGAAGUAUUUGAUUCGAGCAAGUUUCUUUUAUGGAAAUUAUGAUGGUGAUAAUAAGCUACCAGAAUUCGAACUACAUAUUGGAGCUAACUUGUGGGAUACUGUGAGGUUUAAGGAUGCAUCAACUGACAAGAAGAAGGAGCUCAUACAUACCCCCUUGCGGAAGUACAUUCAUGUUUGUUUGGUGGACAUAGGCUCUGGGAUUCCUUUUAUAUCAGCUAUAGAGCUAAGGCCUUUACCUAACGAGACUUAUCAAACACAAAUGGGUUCCUUGGAACUUGUUUCACGAUAUGACACUGGUCAAAUGGAUACUCGUAGAGGAUACAGGUGAAUCCUUGAACUCCUAGAAAAUCAUAAGUUUCUUGAUCCUUGAAUAAUAUGAUAUUAUUUAUGUUUGUUUAUCAAAUAAUGUGGCAGUGUUUCAUUUCAGGUUUCCAUUUGAUACUUUUGAUCGUGUCUGGUCGCGUGCAUAUAAUGACGUUGAGGCACAAUUAAGUACACCAUUCCCCGUUAACUCUUCUUAUCACAAUAAAUACAAUCCACCGUCCGUUGUCAUGAGUACUGCCACCACGCCGAGAGAUGAAAAUGAUCCUUUGAAUAUUUCUUGGUUGCCUUCUAAUGAUAGCAAUGCAGAAUAUCAUAUAUACAUGCACUUUGCAGAAGUUCAAAAGCUUGAACCCAACCAGUCUAGACAGUUCAACAUCACUAGGAAUGGAGAGCACUUUUAUGGACCAGUUACUCCUCCUUACUUGUACACAACUACUAUUUCUAGCCCUAAAGCUUUUGGCGGACUACAAAACAAUUUUUCAAUCUUGAAGGCUGAGAGCUCUAGUCUUCCACCCAUACUCAAUGCUUUUGAGAUUUAUAAGGUGAAAGAAUUCCUAGAACGGGAUACAGACCAAGAAGAUGGUAAGUUCUCUUACAGAAGCUUUCAUUUCUGUCCAUUAUUGCCUCACCAGUUCGGCAAAUGAGUGAUUUUGAUGGGGUUUUCUGUUUCCGUCUUACAAUACUAGUUGUUGCAAUCACAAACAUCAAGGAAACUUAUAAAAUUAGAAAAAACUGGCAAGGAGAUCCAUGUUCCCCUCAAGCUUACUCAUGGGAAGGUCUAAACUGUAGCUAUCAUGCUUACGAGUCCCUAAGACGAAUUACAACCUUGUAAGUUUGUCUUUGUGAACUUAUUGGUGUUUUCAUUUUCAUUUCAAAUGUCUUGGUGAUGUGACGAAAUAUGUAAAUAGGAACUUGUCCUCGAAUGGAUUAACAGGGGAGAUCGCUCUCUCUAUAUCGAAUCUGGCAAAGAUACAAACUCUGUAAGUAUGCCCUUAUGUGUCCAAAUGAGCAGUUACCAAUAAUGAGAAGGCACAUUCUGAAAUGAUAGAGUUUAAUUUGUCAUAAUGAGUUGUAAACGUGAUCUGUUCAUUUCAGGGAUUUAUCAAACAACAACUUAACAGGAAGUAUUCCAGAGUUUUUGUCUCAAUUACCAGAUCUAAUUUUCAUGUAAGAAAUUAUUUGGUGAUAUAGUUUGGCAGAGGAAAACUCCUUAACUGGUAACCAUAGAUAAGACAUAGUACUUUAUUUACUUUUGUAGAAACUUGGUGAAUAACAAGCUUACAGGCUCCGUUCCAGUAGGAUUAAUUGAGAAAAGGAACGAUGGUUUGCCGUCACUAAGGUAUGCAACUUACAUGAACCUAAAUUUCUACUUCAAAAACUUAUAUUGAUAUAGUCACGAGCCAGUUUUCUAUUUGUAAUGUCAAGUUUUUUUUUUUUUUUUUUCUCUCAUGAUUUUGUAAAAUGAUCGAAAAUGUUAAGAGUUAUAUAAAUCUGCAUCCUAAAUUAUAACAUGGGGAUUUAUAGCUGGCUUUUAUAAUUGAUCAUAAUCUAACUACAAUUGUCAUCAACGAUUUUGAUGUCAGUUUGUGCCAAAAUCUAAAACUAUCUGGACACGUUCCUUGCAAGUUAAAGAAGAAGCACAAUUUCGUUAUUCUUAAAGUGGUAUCCGGAAUUUUAAUCCUGUUGUCAAUUUUGGUAGCUAUCAUCUGCUGGGGCCUCAAAAGCAAAAGACAACUGGGUAAGCUAGACUUCCGAACAUAUACUGUCAUUAAUCAGUUAAACAAAGUCAAAUAACUUUUAGUCGAGGAAUAGUACGUGCUCUUAUGGUUGUUGAAUUUAAAUAACUUUGAGAUUACACAUUCAAUCUCAAUAAACAGGGUUGAUUGCUGUAUUUGUUACUGAUUCUUUACUAGAAGAGUUGUGCCUGUUCUAUACAGAACAAUCUAGUUGCUUUGAUCCUUCAAAAUGUACACAAAACAUGUAUAUGUAUGUGAAAUGUAUGUGGUUGUGUUGUGAGUGUGUGUGACCUCUGUUGUCAUGUAUAUACAUGUGUUGUAAAACAACACAGUUACAGUAAAACAUAUUUUCAUCAAACCUCUAUGGAGCAUAUCAGAAAUGACUUUCAAAGAGAACUAUAAAUUAUUAUUUACUAGUACAAAUGCAGAGUUUUGUAGCAGAAUUCAAGGGAAAAUAAAAGAUGAAGGAUGCUGGUUUUGACUUUAUAAGCUGCUGAUAAAACUUGUUGGUCUCAGGAGAUGACACAGAUGUGAAAGCCACUGUUCAAUUGGGGUCAAUGGAAUCGACAAAACGAAAAUUUACCUACUCUGAGAUACUCAAGAUUACCAACAAUUUUGAAAGGAUUCUUGGAAAAGGUGGAUUCGGAACUGUUUAUCAUGGUGGCAUAGACAAGACUCAAGUGGCCAUCAAGAUGCUUUCGCCGUCAGCAGUUCAAGGGUUUCAACAAUUUCAUGCCGAGGCAUGCUUGCCAAAAAUACUGAUGCAUAAAUCUUUUUAACGCUAUUAUAUAUAAUACAACAAACUAAUGUGUUGUGGUCUGAUAUUGCAGGUUGAUCUUCUUAUGAGGGUUCAUCACAAAAACUUGACAAGUCUAGCUGGAUACUGUAAUGAUAAAACUAGAGAACUAGAGUAGGCCUUGUCUACGACUACAUGUGCAAUGGAAACUUACAAGAACAUCUUUCAGGUUAGGGCUCAGUGAAAUUAUUCAGUAAAUUUUGUAUGCUGCAAAUAUCUUGUAUUAAUAUGGGGUUCCUUUGUAAGUUGAGACAGAAAAAAUUCUCAAAUUUUCAAUGUUUGUGGAUGUAGAUAGCAGUUCAAAUAUCUUGACUUGGGAAGAUCGGUUACGAAUAGCAAUAGAUGCUGCACAAGGUCAGCAAGUAAUUGAUCAUCGUUGUCCUUACUUAUACUCAUUUUUCUUCUCUUUUGUUUUCUUUUGUUUAUGGACUUUGUUGAUAAAUGAUGUCUCCAUUGUAUAUGGAAUUUUGUAGGACUGGAAUAUUUGCACUAUGGUUGCAAGCCGCCCAUAAUCCACAGGGAUAUCAAGUCGACAAAUAUCUUGCUGAAUGAAUAUCUUCAAGCUAAACUAUCAGAUUUUGGCCUAUCCAAAAUUUUUCCAACUAAUGAUGGCAGUCAUGUAUCAACUCUUGUUGCUGGCACUCCAGGGUACCUUGAUCCCGAGUAAGCGUUUUUUGUUUAUACUUUAUAGCUUACCCAUUAUAUUUAGCAUUACAGUUAUUGAAACAUUAGAGGAACACAUAUUAAUCAACUAGAAAAAGAUGAGUAAUGAAGUUAUGAAGAAGAAUGAAGGACUUAAAAAGUCAAAAUAGAUAGUUUGGCAAAUAUUGUACUGGUCAUCUUGAUAUCCAAUCCCUUGUAUGUGAAAAUUUUGGAUAGAUUGCUGGAAUUAUAGUCUGACAUGGUAUGCAAGCCUUAGUUGAAGAAGGCUCUGCGUUUGAAACCUGGACUUCUUAGUUAUUUGUUGGCUUGAAGGUAGACCAGGGGCUGUACCUAAGUAUUUCCUUGGGCAUGCAUUUUUAUGAUUAAACAGUGAUUGUUUAACACUUUUAGGUAGAUAUGAUACGAGUUUCAUGGUUUUGGUUUGUAGAUACUAUCUAUCAAGUAGGUUAAAUGAGAAAAGUGAUGUUUAUAGCUUCGGGAUUGUGCUGUUAGAGAUCAUCACAAGUCGACCUGUUUUAUCAAAACUACAAGAGAGAAUUCACCUUAGCCAAUGGGUUGGUUUCAUGCUCGAGAAAGGAGAUAUUUUCAGUAUUGUUGAUUCAAGGUUAAAGGACAAUUUCCAUCCUAACUCAGUCUGGAAAGCUGUAGAAAUAGCUAUGGCUUGUGUAUCUUCAAAUGCCAUCAAGAGGCCAAUGAUGAGUGAAGUGAUUGUGGAACUAAAGGAGUCUUUGGCAACAGAACUGGCUCGAACUAAGCAGAGCCAUGAAACUGAAUCAAGAGUUUCGAUGGAGAUCAUGGCUAACAAUUCUAUUGCUACGCUAACUCCCUCAGUUAGGUAGCAUGUAUCUUGCAAUACCAGAGGUUUGCACUAAUGGUUCUGUGAAUGUUAUAUGCACUUAUUCAGAGACUAAAUUUUUAGUCUAUAUCUGUAUAUGCCAUUGCAUUUGUAUUUGAAGACCUGGAUUUUGUUUAUUAAUCAAAGUGUAAACCUCUAGUUGGCAUUGUUAAACAGUGACAAACAUGGCUCACCAUUGUCUAGAUUUUGGCCCAAUUUAACCACCAGUUAAUUGUUGGGUUUUUACGUAAAGAGGCCUUUGUACAAUUAGGUGUGAUUAGGUAUUAGGGAUUAUGAACUCAAGAUUUUAAACUAUCAAAAUCUAUAGGGGGCUUGCUUAGAUCGUUCCUGCUUAAUUUUAUAUACCCAACUGUUUUGGCAAAAGAUAAUAAGAUUUGAUCAUUGCUUCUUCAACUGAAGGACAGCACCAUGUAUUGAUCUGACUCUACUAAGUACUAACUAAACAUUAAACUAUAGCAUUAGAAAUAGGAUUGCAACUUGGUGUAUAAUUUAGGGAAUUCUGAUAUGCUUUCGUUAUUAUUUCAUAUCAAGUUGCUUAUAAAGUUCUUCAGCUAGCUUGACAACUUUGUAGCAAACUGUAUGUUCUCCAAUUCUAGCAAAGUCAAAUGUCUUGUGUGUGGAAUGUUUCCUUGCUUAAUUUGGCUUUUCAAUCGGCCAAAGAUCAUGAUAUGCCUAUUACCUAACACAAUCAUGAAUUAGAUAUAUCACAGAGUUUCUUUAUGUAUUUCUGGAGGAAUGUACGUAUGUACGUACCUUGACUUUGCUGUACACAGUCUGUAGUUCCAAUCCAGACUCUGUCAAAUGUGGGAUCUGUACCUUGAUUGUGACUAUUGCUCACUGAUCUUUCCUCAAUAUAAAUUCCUUUUGAUUUGGAAAUGUACUCUGGUUUCUAUGACAUGAGUAAACACCAUCGUGGCCAGUGUGACGAAAUGCAUAUAGACGUGAGUCGGAAAAACUUGCUUCUAUAUACUGAUACAGUAUCCACUGACCAUAUAUACAUAUAUAUAUAGCUCUUACUUCAUUUACUUCUUGUUUUUCACCAAGUGUAGUCAAGGAUGUGGGGGACAUUGAUGAAUUCGUUGGUCUUCGCAGUUUUAGUACUGCUUGGUGGUUUUCCUCUCAACCUGAAGCUCCUUGUUCAUGCCCAGGAUCAAUCAGGUAUGAGUUCCCUGUUAUAAGGAAAAUGUUAGUAAUCAACGUAACUUUGAAGUAUAGAUAUAGAACUAUAGAUAUACAUGCAUUUGUAAACAUACAGGCCAAUGCCAGGCCUCUCGUAAUCUCCUAUAGAUAACACAUACAGAUCUCAUCCAUAUGUCAGGCUUCAUUAGCAUAGAUUGUGGACUGCCGGCAGAAAAUUUAAGCUAUAUUGAAAGGACAACCGGCAUCAACUAUACUUCAGAUGCCAACUUCAUUGACACUGGUGAAAUUAAGUUGGUACAUCCUGAAUACAGAGAUACAAAGCAGCAGCCAUACGAGUCUCUAAGGUUGUUUCCUGAAGGGACAAGGAACUGCUACAAAAUAAACGUUACAAGUUGCACCAAGUAUUUGAUCCGAGCAUGUUUCUUUUAUGGGAACUAUGAUGGUCAAGAUAAAUCACCUGAAUUUGAACUACAUUUUGGUGCUAAUUUGUGGGAUUCAGUGAGUUUUGAUUAUGCAUCCACAGACAUAAACAAGGAGCUUAUACAUUUUGUACCUGAUGGAGUCUCAGAUGUACAAGUUUGUCUGGUGAACACUGGCUCCGGGGUUCCAUUUAUAUCAGGGAUAGAGCUGAGGCCUUUAAAUAAUGAAUCUUAUGAAGCAGAAGUGGGAUCGUUGGCGCUUGAAUGGCGAUAUGACACAGGUCUAAUUGCUAAUAAGAGAGGAUACAGGUAGCUAUUAAUAUUACAUAACUUACCUGUUUGCAAUUCAUGAAUAUUUUGAUUUGACAUGCUAUAUGUAUGUACUGAUGAAAUAUCUAUAUUAGGUAUCCAGAGGAUAUUCAUGAUCGCUUCUGGUAUUUCUACGAAAGCCUUGACGAUUGGGAACAAUUAAAUACUUCAUCCACAAUCGACCCUCUCAAUCAGAACAUAGUCGAAUUACCAUCUAUUGUUAUGAGUACUGCUGUCAAGCCAAAAAAUGUAAAUGAGUCCUUGAAUUUUUCUUGGCAGCCUACUGAGCAAAAUGCAGAAUAUCAUAUAUUCAUGCAUUUCGCAGAAGUUGAAAAGCUCCAACCAAACCAAUCUAGAUGGCUAUACAUUACUAAAAAUGGGAAGAUGUAUAAUGACCCAUUUGAAUUGGGGUACAUGUACCCAUCUACUAGUUACAGAAGUAAAGCAAUGAGUGGAGGACAAAACUUUUCAAUCUUCAAGGUCGAGAACUCCACCCUUCCACCCAUCCUCAAUGCUUUUGAGCUUUAUAAGGUGAAAAAAUUCAUAGAACCGGUUACAAGUCAAGGAGAUGGUAAGUAAAUGAAUUCUAAUUCCUUAUGCUAGCUUUCAUAAGUUGAGAUUACUAAUUUUAUGUUUUACCCUCAACAUAAUUUGAUGUAAAUUUUGUCUGUUCACAUGCAUAAAUAUUAGUUGUUGCAAUCACACAACUCAAGUCAUUUUAUAAAAUCAGAAGAAACUGGCAAGGAGAUCCUUGUGCCCCCCAAGUUUACUCAUGGCAAGGUCUGAACUGUAGCUAUCUGAAAAGUGAUCAGGCCCUAAGAAUCAUAUCCUUGUGAGAAUUUUUUCAUACAAUUAACUUACUGAUUAUCAUUCUACAUUUACAUAUGUCUUAUUAAACUUCGGAACAUGUCAGGAACUUGUCCUCAAGUGGACUAACAGGGGAGAUUGAUCUUUCUAUGUCCGAUCUUACAAUGCUACAGACUUUGUAAGUUUUUUCUUGUCUCACUGUCUGUCAAGAUUAAUGAAUUACCAAACUAAUGACGAGGUAUUUUUUUAUUUCACCAGUAAUUCAUUCACAGAGGCUUUUCUGAACCUGUUGAACUACUCAUUUCAGGGAUUUGUCGAAUAACAACUUAACCGGACCUGUUCCAGAAUUUUUAUCUCAACUGUCAAAUUUAAAAGUCCUGUAAGCUAUUUGGUAUUGUAUUUAAAUUGAAAACCCUUAGUUAGAUAUAUAGUCUGGUGACUGGUGAGAAUAAUUUCCCUUUGCAGAACUUGGAGAACAACAAUCUCAAAGGCUUGGUUCCAGUUGGACUGAUUGAAAGAAUGAAUGAUGGUUCACUAACAUUAAGGUGUGGUUUCCUCUUGUUCUUAGAAAACCACAAGUCCACGACUUCUAAAGUUUUUCAUCAACUCCCCUAAUCGCUUGUUGAAAUUUUAAUUCAUUAACAUAGAGUCAUAAACGCCACACCAGUCUUUUAAUGAGCUUUAAAUUUCUUUUGUAUUUGUUCAUGUAAACUGUACUAGUAUAUAUUGGGAAUUAUAUACAGUUUCUAUAUUUAGAGUCCUCAUGGUACUCAUAGUCGAGUCUUUUGUAUUAACGUUGUGUACUUCAUUGCACAAUGACAAGGAGAAUAUAAGAUUAGCUCAUUUUUCUGUGCUCAUUAGUACUGUCAAAAUCUUUGGUUCCAUUUCAUGAUCUCUUCUUUCAACUUCGAUGAAUUAUACUGGUUCUUUCUCCUAUUUGAAAUGAUCACCAGAGUUCAAUGAGAAAAUAUGAGUCUAGAGGCCAAAUUCAGUGAACAAAUUUAUUUCAGGAUUUUCUAUGUAAUCUUUUCUGAUGACUGCUGGGAAUAUACUAGUGGUAAUAAUAAUUGAUCAAAAUCUUAUAACAGUUUCCUUCAACCAUUUUGUUGUAGUUUGUGCCAAAAUCCAAAUGUAUCUGGACUUGUUUCUUGCACGAAGAUGGAAAAGAAGAAGCCAAAGUUCUUAACUCCGGUAGUUCUGUCAAUUGCUGGAGUGUCAAUCUUCUUAUUAACUAUAACAGCUAUCUUGUGGGGUUUAAGAAGGAAAAAGAAACAUGGUAAGACUUCAUAGAUAAUGAAAGGAUGGUCAUUUUCAUCAGUGCUUUCAGUUCUAAUAUGUGUCUUUUAAUUUCUUUUGCUGAUUAAUAAAAAACGGAUUUCUCUGAAAAGGUGAAAGCAUGGAUUCUGAUUAAGCUUGACUUAAUAUUUGGAAAGUACAGAUGCAAAAUCCAAAACUGAGUUAGGAUCAUUGGAGUCAACUAAACGACAAUUUACGCAUUCUGAGAUCCUGAAAUUCACCAACAACUUGAAAAGGACUCUUGGGAAAGGUGGAUUUGGAACAGUUUAUCAUGGUUACAUAGACAAAACUCAAGUAGCCAUUAAGAUGCUUUCGCCAUCAUCAGUUCAAGGUUUGCAAGAAUUUCAUGCAGAGGCAGGUUUAUCAAAUAACGAAACGCAAUCUUUGUGAGCUCAACAGUAUACAAACAAUUAACCUGUUGUGAUUGUUGCCUCUUUAAUUACAGGUUAAUCUUCUGAUGAGAGUUCAUCACACAAACUUGACCAGCCUUGUUGGAUAUUGCAAUGAGGAAUCCAAUAUAGGGCUCGUCUACGAGUAUAUGGCCAAUGGAAACUUACAAGAACAUCUUUCAGGUUUGGCUGCAUUUGAAUUUAUUUAGUACUGACAUUCAGCAUUUCUUAAUUAUAUAUACUUUCUAUGGAUUUAGAUGACAGUUCCACUAUUUUGGGUUGGGAAGAUAGACUUCGGAUAGCAGUAGAUGCUGCACAAGGUUAGCAACGUGAUGAUAUAUUUUGGUCCAUGUUUUACCUCUUGAUUUGUAGACUGUUUUGUGAUGAAUUUUGAAAUGUAGGAUUGGAGUAUCUGCAUAAUGGUUGUAAGCCACCUAUAAUUCACAGGGAUGUGAAAUCAGCAAACAUCUUGCUGAGUGAAAAUUUCCAAGCCAAAGUAGCUGAUUUUGGCCUAUCCAGAAUUUUCCAUACAGACCUUGUAACUCAUAUAACAACUGGUAUCGCUGGUACUCCCAGGUACCUUGACCCUGAGUGAGUACUACUUGAUAUUAAUUCUAUUUGACUGACCAUCAUUAGUGUUCAAAUUAAUCUUUAUUUUUCAAACUUCAAACCAACGUUGUAAUUAGUGAAAUCAUUGUGAUUCGUGUUGCAUGGUUUGGUUUUGCUGCAGGUACUACCUAACAAGCAGGUUAAAUGAGAAAAGUGAUGUUUAUAGCUUUGGGAUUGUGCUGUUGGAAAUUAUCACAAGCCGACCUGUUAUAUGGGGAACUGUUGAGAGAAUUCACAUUAGUCACUGGGUUGCUUCCAUGCUUGCACAAGGAGACAUUUACAGUGUUGUUGAGCCAAGACUGGAGAGAAAUUUCAGUCCUAACUGUGUGUGGCAAGUUUUGGAGAUAGCAAUGGCAUGUAUAUCUCCAGACCCCAUCAAAAGGCCAAUGAUGAGUCAGGUAGUGAUGGAACUGAAGGAGUGUUUGGCAAUCGAACUGGCUCGAACAAAGCAGACAAGAAAUGAAACUGAUCUAGGACAUUCCACUGAGAGAUUGUCUCAGAACGAGUCGAUCAGAGUACAUCCCUCAGUUAUAAGGACUUAAUUCGUCUAAUCUUUAUCGGGAAGGUAAUCAGGUUGCAUAUCGAUCAUGUUGAAGUCUAUAGGGCUACUCAUCAGGUUCUGCCGAUUAGUUAGUAAUUUUUUUUUUCAAGUCCUUAGCAGGGUAAGGUCUGUGACCACCCCCUUACUCAUCGAUCAAAAUUCAAAAUUCGUAUCUGGUUUCUCAGUUGAAUUCAAGCUGUGUUAAUUUAAAAAAAAAAAAGGCAUGGAGGGAUUGCACCUAUUUCAAAAUUAUUAAUUUGCAUAAAUGCUUGCAUGUUCGUCAUUACAAGAAGUCACCUUCGACUGAUGUGGCCCUUAAUGGAGGUUUGAUCACGUACCUGAACAACAAUUCACCUUUUGACGCACAAAAUUGGAGAUCUAUAAAAAUCAAAUGCAUAUAUAUCUCUUCAACACUUUUGAGAAAAUUAACAUACAUGGGCAACAAGAACGAGGAAGCCUUUAACCAUCUUCACUUACAAGUAGCACUUCUGCAAUCUGCAUGUAGUGCCUCCAUCUCCCAAUCAAUAUCAUCCUUCAAUUUGUUACAGGAGUUUCUGAUCAACCAUCCAUUCUUAACUGUCCGGCCAUCCAUCCAUUCAUCACAGCUAGCUAAGACAUGCACCCUGCCAAAAGGACAACGAUCAAUUAUCCAUACUCAUCUAGCCAUAGCAUGCAUUUGGAAGUUCGAGGCCAAUAAAUUAAUCGGACCUCUGAUGUGCACAAAUUUAGCUAUUUCAGUUGCAGAAAUAUACUUCGUGAGAAAAUGAAAUAAAUGUGAAGUACUGUCCGCCACUCCGCCCGAUAGUUCUGCACAAAUCGGAAAGUUUGUUGUGCCAUAAAAUGUUCAACUCGUACAAUCUUACUACAUAACAGGGGAACAUGAGUUUAAGAUCAGCUCAGCAUCAAACCCAAAGGAGCUACGUACGUACCCCAAAAACACAUCAUGACAAGGCAAAGUUUAUGCUAAUAUUGAAAUGAGAAAAUCAUCACAAGUCGUCAGUUGGUAACAGCUUAAGGUUGAAAAUCGAUCUAAAGACAAGGUAAGAUUGAUCCCAUCAACAUUGACCGAGUAUAAAUCUCGACCACAUAUUGGCGAUUUAGAGGGGAAAAAAACGUUUUAACAUGAUCAAUCGGCACAAAAUAGUCCCUAGCUCUAGAAACUUGAAUAUAUGGAAAUGUGAUGAAAAAAUUUAAAACAUUUCAUUCGUUAUUUUGUCUCUAAAUUUAUAUUAAUUUAUUCUAUAGUUUUAGUCAAUGGUAGAUAUAUAGCAUAUAUCCGCAAACUUUAAAAAUGUAGAGAUAAUAUAUAUAUAUAUAUAUAUAUAUAUAUAUAUAUGAUGAAGGAAGAAGUGUAGAGACAAAGAGAUAGCAAGAGAAUCAUCAUCUUAUUCAUUGAUAUGAGCCAUUUAUAUAAGGAAUUACACAAUACCAAUAUGGUAAGGAUAUGAAUACAUAGAUCUAGUCUAAUUACAUAUCCUAUUGGCAUAAGGCCAAGGCACACAUAAAGAAUAUCUAAAAAGAUACAGAAUAUCCUAGAACACUUCCCCUUGUGCCGCGCGCUGAUAUGCCGAUGGUGCUGAUCUGUUGCCUCGCCAAGUCACAAAAACCCUGUGGGAGAAAAACUGAACCUUGAUCGUAGGAGAAAAAGAGUACAACGCACCCUUCACAUUUGAUAGUGACAUGUAUGUAUGUGUUAGACUCCCCCUAAAGUUUGCACCUCCCCUUGAUCUUUACAUCAAUCAUAGGGCUCUUCCUGAUUUUUACUAAUCACAGAAGUUUCAACAACUUAGCAUGUCAAUGCUCUGUAACAUGUCUUCAAAUGUGGCAUUGGGCAAUGAUUAACUAAAUCAUGCCGCAUUGUCCUCAAAUAAUCUUUUACACUUAGAUCUUGAGGAGAAGGCCGCUUGUGAACUCAAAACAUAAGUUCGUGCAGAAAAUCAGAUUUCCGCUCAGCAUAACCUUCAGUUACUAGAACAAUCGUAACUUUCUCUAGGAAAUACAUAUGAACGAACCGUAAAUGGUUUUGGAAACUAGACUCAUUUAGCUUUCCAACCAUAUAUUACACACGUUCUGGUUCAUCAGGAGCUAUUCACAAAGUCCCGUCGAAGUUGACUGUUUUGCCAAAAUCAGAUUCUCGGACAGAUUCGUCCUACUUUAUGAAAAUGGCCAUAACUCAGUCAAUAUGAUAGGUAUGAUCAAAUAGUUGGUGUCCCUGGAAAGUAGACACAUAGAUCUUUCCAAUGGUACCAAUUUCACCAUUUUCCAGUGAGUGAGAUUUCAUGUAGGUCCCGUGGAAGUUGACCAACAAAACUUUGCAGAUUCUGAUUUCGCUUUUGAUGUGUCUUUCUUAUGUAGGGAUAGAAUAAGCCUCAACCUUUCAUACCAUUAAGUAUUGAAAAAAUAGUUACUGUCAUUACAUUGGCGUUGCGUGGGCGCAUAGCUACACUUAGCUUUACAACUUUUCAUAGCGAAUGAGAUGUCAAGUCUUUCGUAUUGUGUUGAGUACAUUGAUGCGUCUUAUUGUACUUAGAUUUAGAUGGGAACUCCAUCUCUUAACACAUAUUUGUCAUCUUGCUUUAGACAAAACAACGGAUCUCUCUUUAGAGCAAAGACCUUGACUAAUCAUGGGAGUAUAUAUGGGCCUCACUAGUUAUAAAGUUCCUAAGCCGAUUGAUGGAAAAUCAUCAUCAAUAUAGUCAUCGAGUGCCUUAUCGAGACCGUGUCUUCUCAAGAUCUUUUUCUUCGGAUGUUGAUACAUAUUGACAUCUCUUAAUCCAUCAAGAGUCUAUGUAAAUCAGGAAUGAACACGCAAAGGCAAAAUUCACCAUAUCCCUUCCAAAUCAAGUAGAGUCCAUGUGCGUUUCAAUACAUUUAGCAAACGCAUGCUCUUGUGGUUUCGAGCCACUUGAUUCAGAUGAAUGAAGUCUGUUUAAGACCUUCAUGUAUAUCUCUGAUCCCAUAGAGAUGUUAUUAUGACCACAUUCAUAGGCUGCAUGUUCAAUUAUUUGGAAAUUACCAAACUGACAAAGUAGUGGAGUUCAAUGACAUCCAUUAUGAGAGCAUAUCUCAUCGUAAUCGAUCUCAGUGCGUGUUAGUGAGACCUUACACCAUAAGGUGAGUCUAAGCUCUUGUUCUCACAACACUAUCUAACAAAGGUAUAGUUGAUAGGGUUUAGCUUGCGGUGUCGGCAUCACCUGCCUAAGGACCUAUCUCUUUGUUAAUGCUGGAUCGCAUCUUUCCAUUAGGCCAAUCAACUAAGUUGAUAUCCAUCAACGAAAGGUGGUUCGAUAAUAGACUCAUUAUCCCACGUCCUCAUGUACACUAGUGUAAUACUUGUAGAGAUCUCUAUAUGGAUUGAAUUUGACAUUGAGGCAUCCCCCAAUGAUAAUCACAAUUCAGACUUCAUGAGACGGAUUUGAGUAUCACUGAUCAAUGGAUCAGGUUGUGCCAAGCUCGCUUUCUUCCUAGUGCAAGAAAAUAUCGAAUUUAAGGGCCUCCCUCCUUUUAGGGAGCCACACGGCCUUGUGACACCAAUUUUGCCACUAUAUGAUGUCACCAUAUCACCAUCUAUGUUGAUGGCGUCAAGACCAACUCAUUUUGGUCGCGCCGCGCCAUGUCGUCCUCUUGAUAGGACAUCAAUCCUUGCAGACAUAUUUGCAGCAUGUGAUCUCGUCACUUUAACACUUUAAGCAUUUGGGAUCAAGAUGAGACUUAGUGGGGACAAACCACGACAAUUCACGUUGUUCCACUUAAACACUUGUAUUCUUAUCUCCCUUUAACGGUGGGAAUAUUGUCUCAUCAAAGUGACAAUCUGCAAUUUAGCUGUGAAUGAGAUCCCCUAACAAGGUUUCUACAUAUGCAGAUUUAUAGGUGGAGGUUCAUAUCCAACCUAAGUACUUCUUCAUCUCAAAUGACCCAUCAUUGUACGUAGUGGCAAUUCGAUUUGGCACCUAGAAAUAACAUUUAGCCGAGCUCAAGGAUUGGAGAUCCGUUUCAAUCUUAUUUGAGCUCAAGGAUUGCAAUCCUGGUACACAGUCACGAGCUGUAGUAUAAAAAUAUUCAAUGAUGGUGGGUCGUAGAUGAAUAGUAAAACUGCAUGCAAAUAUUACAUAGCCCCAAGACGCAAUAGAAAGAUUGGUGCGCAUCAAUAAUGUUCAAGAGACAAGCUAAAGUUGCUUGGUCAUAGCCUCGGUGAGACCGUAUUGCAUGUCAACAUGGGGUACAGGACACUUCAACUUACAUCCCGAUAAACUUCUUUAAAUAAUAGGUAGUGAGCCCGUAGAAGUAUAAGCAGCAUAAGCAGUAGAUAACAGUGUAACACGUGACCAGUGUGUUACCACUUCAACCAACACCAUAAAACAUAAAAAGGUGUCCGCAAGUUGGUUGUAUCUAUCUACAUAGUUUGAUGUAAGAAUAGAAUGUUCACUUUUGUGUUAUUUAGCGUAGGAGGGUCUCACUCCUAAUUUAGCUAAAGAAUAGGCUUUCAAAACGAGUAAUGAGAAUUACAGGGGGCCAAUGCGACAUCGAGGGAAGGCCGGUGCACCUCAAUUGCUUGAGGAAUUGACCGGAAAACCUCCAGGAAGUUGGAAUCGUGUUCGGGUGACGUCAAUGUCCCCCGGGUCACCACCAUGCUUCAUGGUGAUGCUAGAUCUCGAAUGUCUUCGUUUUGAGCGGAAGAAUGGAUGUCCAUGAGAAUUUCUCAAAAUCUGAACCAUUAUAUCUCUUCCAGGUUGACCAAUUUGGUCAAACCAAAGCCUAUAUGAGUCGGUGUCCUAAAUAUCAUGUUUGGUGACAACAUGGGAUUCGAUAUUCGAAUAUAUUCGAAUCGUAGUGACAUAUAGUCCACUAGAUUGACUCAUGAAUUUCUCCAAGAUGUGCUUCAGUCCGCAUUCAUGAGAAGGUGUAAUACACAAAAGAAUUCUUGUUCAUUCUCACAAUGUGUUUUCAAAUGAAAACUAUUAGCAGGAAUGUCUUUAAAGCUCAAUAUGGUUCGAUUGCCUCUCAAUGCAUAGAGGGUAUCUGUAACAUUGAUCAUGGUGCCAUGAGGCAUCAAGAUUAAAGCUAAACCACGUCCCAGAAUGACCGGUAUGAUUCAAUCAUUGUAGUCACAAGAGAUUUACAAAGGCAUAAAAUCCAAAAAUAGUUGCCGGUUCCUUAGAAUGUUGUGGAUAGUUCCACUAUCUGCGAAGCACUCAAUGUCUCAAUGAGACAUACCUACAAGGAGUAGAUAGGCGAGUUAAUAGUUCAAGUCUGAACCAUUUAGAAGGAUUGAAAAAAAGCUACGAAAAGCUACAAUCCCGAGAGUGCAUAAAAAUUUCAGCGUAUAAUGAUCUUUGCGUACUAAAACAGCCAUAACUUCUUCGUUAAACUAGAUAUGGAAAACCGCAAAAAGUUUUGAAAACUAGACUCGUAGAGCUUUCCAAUGAUAUAAAGCUCACUGUCUGGUUCGUCCGUUGUUGUUCACAAAGCUCAAACGAAGUUGACUAUCUAGAAGGGACAAAUUGCUGUUUUUCGCAGAAUUGGUAUGUGCGAAGCUGUGAAGCUUGCAGGUGGCGUGUAGGCUUUUACCUUAGCCAAAAGUGACGCGUGUAUGAUCAAAACCAGGUCCUUUCAGUCGUUCUAAGAUCGUAAACUCCAUGACUAGUUAGCAAAAACUCCCUGACAUGAACAUAAACUAACUCAGAGGACCUAGAGGAUUCGAUCAUGAUGAUAAUUUUCUGGUUUUGAUAAGUCUUCAACGUCUUUUGCAAGACAACAAUUAGUUUAAUAGCGUAGGGGGAUCCAAAAUCAAAAGCUUUCAGUAACUCCAAGUCAGUAUGACUAGGCAUAUCCAUGGAGGAGGGCCGGUAGUACGAGGCACACUUGAAACCAUUAUCUCCUUAAUUUCGAACAAUUCUAAGACAUCACACUAAGCUUGGAUGAGCCUAGUUGAACAAUUGAUGAUGGAAAAUCCGCUAAAGGGUAGAAGACUUAAUCGGAAACACAUUAGCGAUCCUUCUUGAGGAUGCAAGGCCGUGUGUCAUCUUCACUUGGAAGAGACCAAAACGGCGCAAUCUAACCAUGUAGAUUGUAAACAUGUCAUGCUUCUAAGGACGAUGUAAAAAUGUACAUCUUGUUUAUAAAUCAAUACAAACCAUAAGAGGAGAAUAGUUUCAUAACUUCGAAAAAAUUCUCAAGGCAUUUAUUAUUGCUAAUGUGAGUACAUCGAGGUAUCAAAUAGACGAAGGAUGUCGAUACAACGCCUUAGUACAUAUAGCUUGGAAUGAAAAUCAAUGUCUAGCCGAUGACGUCAAAGUCAUGGGUAGCUAGAGCAGGAUCUGAAUCUUUGAAAUUCGCGAUCAUGAGGAUGACGUUCUUGUCCUCAUAUUGAUUUUCCAUACCUUUUUGUAUGCAUUCACAAUUUGAAGGAGUUGGACAAUUUUGAACCAGUGAUCCGAAGAUCUACAACGGUUGCAUUGUCAUGAGCUGACGUGAGUAGUUUUGACAAAAUUGUGUCUAGACCGGGAGUGUCGCUAUUAGAGCCGGCGACACCUCCCCCUCUUUUCUAGACAUCGGCACGACGUUUUCUGCCGUUGCCGUGACCCAUAUUGUUGUCUCCACAUUAGGGGAUAAUCCCAAAUAAGUUUAUCACAUUAGCGUAUAUACAAUUCUCGUUUGUAUGAUCAAAAUCAAGUCUCAUUGGUAAUUCCAAACUAACUUGGAGGACCUAGAGAACUUGAUGAUGAUCGAAUCCGCUAAAGAUUAUGGAUCAUGAUGCCAUAAAAGAUCAUCGACAAUAUGUAGUCAAUUAAGGUGGUAAGCAAUUCACUUGACUAAUAACUCAACAAGUAGAGUUAUAUGAACGUUUCAAGAAACACUCCAUGAGUGCAUUCCACAGUACUUUGUGGUCAUUACUUUUUGCAUAGAUUGUCAUUAAAGGCUUUUGUCGAUGUGGCGCUUCAAAGAUUUUGAGCGCAUAAGAUGUGAAAUCUCGGCAUCUAGGCUUGUUAGCCUGGGGGUCAAAACAUGUGGUUUUAAUCCUUUCCAAUGAAAGGUUCCACAGAUACCAAGCGAAGAUCCGCCUUAGGCAUCUAGUACGUCAAAACUCAAAGGAGCAGAAUGUUACAUUGCUCUUGCAUACAAAACCAAGCUGUUAUGAGACUCGAUAGAGGUCACAAACAAUGCUUUUAAUGGUUUGUCCUUCGGAUUGCUCACACACAAUCCGGAAAAGCCGCGAAUUGAUCAAACACAAUUCGGAAAAAGGCCUCGGAUUGAUUAAACACAAUCCGGUGAUAGGUCGGGGUUGAUCAUACACAAUCCGGUGAUAGGUCGGGGUUGAUCAUACACAACCCGGACAAGGAAACAAGAGUUGAUAACACACUCUUGACCCGCGAAUAAAAUUCCAGGAUUUUUGGUACCUGCACACACAAAAUCCCAAGCAUAGAAUGGAGAUGGAGAAGGGAGAAAAGAUUUUAUCCCUCCGAGUUAUUCCAAAGUAAAUAACUGUAAUAUUAAAGCUUACUUAUUAGUUUGUAAAAUAAACUGCGUUUAUAGGAGCUCUGAUGAGUUUGAGUCGAUUGCAGGCUUCGACCGAGGGUUGGGAACCUUUCUGGUUUUCCUUGGAAGACGAGCAAUCUUAAAAUCUUUGAUUUCUAGAGGCUGCCGAGAGGAGAAACAACGUUUCGCCUACUUCUACUUCGAAUUUGGGGCUGAAAAUCUGACACGACGAGCAGCUCUAGAUGAGGAAGCUGCUUUCACAAAUUCAGGUUGAUCGGAGCAAGGGAAGGUGGUGAACCGGUGGUCGGUAUCGGCGGCGGUCUGGAAUCUUCCGGCGGCCGGUUCGGAGACUUUCCGGCCGGUUCUCAGGGUGAGGCCAGCGGUGUUGGAUCCGGGACGAAGACAACUUUCUGGGGAUAUAAAAUUCCGGCAGAGGGCAGUCGGAAUUUUGGUCAGAAAUCGGGAAAAACAUGGCUGCCCGAUUUUAGGGUUUUGGAAAAUAAAUGGUGGGCUAUUGGCUCUAGGGUUAGAACAAAGUGCAUGAUAACAUGAUAAAGGAUAAAGUGUAGAGACAAAGAGAUAGCAAGAGAAUCAUCAUCUUAUUCAUUGAUAUGAGCCCUUUAUAUAGGGAAUUACACAAUACUAAUAUGGUAAGGAUAUGAAUACAUAGAUCUAGUCUAACUACAUAUCCUAUUGGCAUAAGGCCAAGGCACACAUAAAGAAUAUCUAGAAAGAUACAGAAUAUCCUAGAACAAUAUAUAUAUAUAUAUNNNNNNNNNNNNNNNNNNNNNNNNNNNNNNNNNNNNNNNNNNNNNNNNNNNNNNNNNNNNNNNNNNNNNNNNNNNNNNNNNNNNNNNNNNNNNNNNNNNNNNNNNNNNNNNNNNNNNNNNNNNNNNNNNNNNNNNNNNNNNNNNNNNNNNNNNNNNNNNNNNNNNNNNNNNNNNNNNNNNNNNNNNNNNNNNNNNNNNNNNNNNNNNNNNNNNNNNNNNNNNNNNNNNNNNNNNNNNNNNNNNNNNNNNNNNNNNNNNNNNNNNNNNNNNNNNNNNNNNNNNNNNNNNNNNNNNNNNNNNNNNNNNNNNNNNNNNNNNNNNNNNNNNNNNNNNNNNNNNNNNNNNNNNNNNNNNNNNNUGAAUUCUGUCCGGUUCAGGUAUAUAACAGAAAAACGCAAGUUUGAGGGCCUUAACGAUCACCAAAUUGGCUGAACUUUGCAGAGAUGAUUUACACAAGAUGAUCUAGAUAUGUCUAGAAGGAAGUUUGAGGAAAUUCGAUCGGAAAGUGGUACAAAAAUGGAAAUCCGCACCAAAACUUUGGUGCGGACGUCCGCAACCGAGAAGGCCUGUAUAUAUAUAUAUAUAUACAGUCCUCUUCCAGAAUGAGAUCCCUCUUUGAAAUUAAAGUGCGAGACUCCUUAUUUCGCUCACUUUCAGGUCAUUCCUGUAAAGUUUCAUCAAAUUUGAAGAGCAUUUAAGCUUCCGUAAUCGUAAUUUACACGAACGGUUCUGUUUGGACAACUUUUGUUUUGUUGAUUUAUUUAAUCUAAUUCGGUACCCAAAUGAUCUUCGAAUUUGAUGAAACUUUGUAUGAAUGAUCUACACACUGUGUUUUAUAUAUUAUACAGUUGAGAUGUAGAAAUAUGACCUGAAAGUGAGCGAAAUAAGGAGUCGCGAAAUAAUGAUCUACACCAUUCAAUUUUGCUAUGAAUUUACAAUGAUGCAGAAACCCAAAUAAGUGAUCGAGCACACCUUUUCUAUGUCCGUUCGACUUCACUUUUAUGUUUGAGCAACGACAGCAGCAAACAAAGCAAGAAAGCUCCUGUGUUUGGAAUACAUAAGAUCAAUCAAAUUAUCAGGUGGAUCAAAUAAUCCAUGAGGCAAAGAAAAAAAAUUCUUACCUGAGAUGAAGCAAUUAGCAGAGAGUGAGAACACGUUUUGUGAAGAAGAUGAGUAGUUGGGAGACGUAAAAGGAGGAAGACGAUGAGGGGAGAUAUUUUGGGUAGUGGAGUUCAACUGAACAACCGAUUGGUUUUGAACUCUGAAAUUUUUAUCCUCCCAUUCAAUUGUUUCUAUCCUUUUGUAAUAUUUCCUGAUUUGUAGUUUACUGUUGUAUCCUUUUAUUAUGUUGUUUGUUUUGUUUGGUUUAAUUUUAGAGAGGGGUAAUAAAAGUAAUUAAGCAAGUGGCAGUUCC